AAUUGCCAAAUGAGGAAGGCAGUUCUUUAACAGCCGUAGAUGUUAAGUUAAUGUGAGCAAAAGUAUGAGCCGGCUCCGCGAUCUCUGGGAAGGUCCUCAGCCUUGAGCAACCACGCAAAUCAAGGUUCCUCAACUUCAAAUUGAAAAUGGUGCUUGGAAAAGUUUGAAGUGAAUUACAGUGGGUAAGGUCUAACUUGCAUAGUCUGGUGAGGGUUCCAAUGGAAGAUGGAAUAAUCUCAAGAUUCAAGCAACUGCGCAAACUCAGUCCUUGAAGCCCUACCAAACGGCACAAGGAUGAAGGUAGUGCCUGUAUGGCUGUGCCGUCUAAGAUGAGCACCACUAGAUCUUCCAACGUGUCCUGAAUCUCGGGUAAAUUUUCCAAUUUUGAGCAACCACUGAGAGAAAGUUUCUUUAUGAAUUUCAUAUCAGAAAGGUGAAAUGGAAAGAUUGUAAGGGAAGAACAGUGAGAGAGAUCUAAGUAACAGAGCUUCUUGCGAUUAAAGUUGAAGUGACAGAGCUUCAUGAGUUUUGUGAACACUUUAAAACAUAUAGUAUCAUUAGCCACUUCUUCUUCCUUAUAUCUGUCAAAAGUAAUUGAGAAAAUUUCACUGGAAGUUGGGAAAAAAGGACCACGGUGUCGACGUUUACCACGCCGUCCUGAGAAAUUCGUCAUAUCCGGUUCCUGACGAGGGAAUAUUGAGAAAGUUUGAAGUUGACGCUCCAGUAUCACAUGAGGGAAUCUGGGUUUACUGAUCGAAAACAUAUUAAGCUUCGGACAACGGGAAAGAGUAAUCCAUCCUGGUGAUGUGGAUAAAAUGUUGCUGGGAAUAUUUACACUAUUCAGAUCAUUACAAUCAUCUAAACAUAAACAACUGAGCUUGUUGAGGAAUAUCCAAGAGUGAACUUCAAUCAACUUUUCACAACUUUUCAGAAUUAUUUCUUCAAUAUUUGGUGACAUAGAAAGGUCUGGUAUUCUAGUAAGUUUCCGAGAAUAACUCAGGUCGAGCCUUUUCAAGUUGGGUAAAUUCUGCCACAAAUAGGAAAUGAAUGAGGUAACAAAUAAAAACUACUUUAUCUAUUUUUCUUCGGUAAAAUAUUAGCUACAUCAUCUAAUCUAUUCACUUUAUAUUUUACAUUACUUCAAAACCACUGUUAAAAAAAAUCACACUGUCAACUAACAAAACUGUGGCUAUAAAUUUAAUAGUUAUUAUAAAAAACCACAAAAUUUAACGUGUUUUUGUUCCCUACCUCAAAUUACAUCCUAAUAAUUUGAACCUAAACUUAUUAUGUAUUUAAAAACUGAUGAUAGUAAUUUAUAAUCGAUGACAGUGUGGAAAUACUUUAUAUCAUGCAUGUAUCAACUGACAAAAUAAAAUGGUGUUGUCUGAUGAUAGUAAUUUAUAAUCGAUGACCAUCUUUCCAUAAUUUAUUUUAUUAAAUACAUAAUUUGUUGUAUAUUAUAUUGAAGUUUAUGUUAUAAUAAUAAAAAAAUACUUAAUUAGGUUUUGAGUAUCCAGUAAGACAUUUUUAAUUAAUUUUUUUAUUAAAUUUUUUAAUUAUUUAAGUACUCAAAUUUUUUAUAUUUCCAAUAGAAUAUAUGUCAUUUUUAAUUUUUGAGUUAAUUGGGUGAUACAGAAAUUAUCUUGUCACAUGAUCUUACUUACUUGUCUUUAUGUAUUAAGGAAUAUGAAGUUUUAUGAUUGGCCAUUAGACUAUAUACCUAAAAAGAGGAUGCAAACUCUUCUACAUGCUACUAAAUUUAUAACUAUCUUUAAUUAGAAACAUGCUGAGUAUGAUUCUUAUGAUAUAUGUAUAACUGUGUGGUUCAAAUAAAAGAAAUUUCAAAUCGAAUAAUGUGGAGAAGCACAAAGGAAUUGCAAAUGAAAACCAGUAGAUGUAUAAUACAGAAAACAUGCUUGUAUAACUUAUUUUUGUCUUUGAAAGUUUAGAACACAAAGAAACAUAGAUAGCUUGAAAAACCUGAUCUCCUUCCCAGAGUUGUUCAAGAUGGCAGUAUGGCAUUUCGAGGGUCACUAGAUUUUGCGGGCAAAAGUUUGGAGGCAAAGAUCUUUGAGGGAAAUGUUUCCAAUAAAGAAUCUUUAGAGUGUCUGGCAGACCUACAAUAGAUGAUUCAAGAGACACAUUUGACGUGUAUUUUGGCGUGUUGAGCAUAAGCAUCCUAAGAUUGUCCAUCUUUUCGAAACUUUGUGCAUGUACUACAACUUCAUUUACUUUGCUCGUAUCUAGUGAUAUACACUGUAUUGCAUCUAACCCCUGAAAGUAAAUCAAUGUAAUUAGAAAAAAAAAGCAUGAAAUGUUGCUGUAUGGUUAUGGGCAGAUUGAUGAGAUAUGGUAACCUUCGGAUACUGAUCAUGAAGUGACAUAAAGGAGAAGGAAGCGUUACUGAAGGAGAGUAAUGGAAAUUUAUGAGAAAUUAAGCCGUUGGUUACAGAGACUAGGUAGGGACCGAGUCAUCUAUACCAGGGACCGAGUCAUCUAUAAGAGGAGGCAGAGACGAAGAGUAGGGGUAGGAAAAAAAGAUAUGGUUUUUAUAUUAUCUUUGAUGCUCUAGCUAAGGAUCAUCUGUCCUAAAACAGUUGCAUUUCUGGAUGUUUAAUGACAGCUCAAUAGUUUGCAGUUUUUUCACAAAGUAACAACAGAAUAUACCUUGUUUUUUCUUAAAACAUCACAAAUUUCCUCAGCAUUAAACAGUCGGCUGCGUUUUCCAGGAUGCCGACGACACUCUUUACGAACAAUUUCUUGACCCAUUUCUUGUAUUAGAUCGUGCAUCAUAAUAAUACCAUUAAAGACAGAUAUUAGGCACCUAUCUUUGAGAACAUCCAUUACAAUCUUAGUAGAGAAACCAUUGCAGUCAUCAAGUAUUUCUGCCAGCACAAUCUCCUGGUAUCCUCUAUAAAAGCAAGCAAUGUCAAGAAAUAUAUUCUUCUCCACCUCCUCGAGCCCAUCAUAACUUAAUUUUAAUACAUUGAAAAUACCAUGAUGUUGGCCCUUUUUCAACUUUUGCAACUGACUUUCCCAUGCUUCUUUUGUUCUGUCACAAAGCAAUGAGCCCAAAAUCUGGAGAGCUAACGGAAUCCCUUUUGCAUAACUCAACACCUUUCCUGACAGUUCCUUGUAAGCAAUUUCUUCUGAAGAUUUUUGUUUAAAAGCAUGUAAACUAAAAAGUCUUAGAGAAUCAUCAGAAUUCAACUCCUUAACUUCGUAGAUAUCAUCAGCUCUAGCAUUCUUAAGCACUUGUCUGUCUCUACUGGUCAUAAUGAUUCUACUGCCCUGCCUAAAACUAUCACUCCAUCCUAUUAAUUUUUGAAGUUGAGCUGAAUCGGUAACAUCAUCAAGAAUGAGGAGAGCCUUUGUCCGUUUGAGCCUUUCUUUGUAAUAUGGUAAAGAAGAAGAUUUCUCUUCCUUUAGAAGCUCAGACAGAUAUUUUGUUCUGAUACUAUCUAUUCCAUCUCUUUGUAUUUUUUCUUGAACGUCUAAAACAAGGCUGCUGGAAUCAAACUGCAAUGCCAAUUUCUGAUAUAUUUGAUCACAAAUUGUACUUUUUCCUAUUCCUCCCAUGCCCCAAAUUCCUAUGAUCCGAACAUCCGGUGACUCAGGAUGCAACAAGGACUGAAUUCCUUCAAUAUGUUUUUGAAUGCCGAUGAUUCCUUGAUCAUAACUGGUGGAAUAAAGAUUCAAUUUUCCCAAAAUAUCUUCCACAAUUUUUUCAACAAGUUUGUGGUCAUUCCUGGCAGAUGAUUUAGAAAAUAAAGUAUAAGAAUUCAAGCACAAAAGCUAAACUAAACUAAAGAAAAAUUCAGAGUCAAGAGGAGUGAACAUCAUUGAAUAGAUUCACAUAUCGAUUCUAGUUUCGAGUUCUGGAUAAAAUAAAUAAAUUAAAAAGUUGAAGGUAAGUUUAGGACGUUAUCUUCCUAUAUUAGUUUGGUUGGUUUAGUAAUUGCAAAUCAAGAUCGCAGAAAUUCUACAGUAACCGUAUGUGACUUCUGAUAAUAGGGAGCAGAUUUGUAGGUACAAAGUUAAGCUAUAACAUGUGAUAUGGUUCAGAUCCAUGACCGACUAAGAGAAAUGAAAAAAGAAACACUUGAUUUAUGGUGAGAUGAACACAAUUUUAGUAAAUGAAAAGAGAUCCUGAUUAUCUAAUAAAUAUAAUGACCUGGUGACUUUUGAAUCCCAGCCUGCAAGUUCAGCAGCUUCGGUUAGAGCAUCCUUCCAUCCUUGCACUCUGUCCAUGUCGUGCUUAAGCCGCUGUUCAUGCUCAUCAAAUGCUUCUUUGAAUCUUUGUUCCUGCUUCCUAAUAGUUGAUGGAUCCACCUUGUAGAAAACAGGUAUCACAUCCCUUCCAUAUCUCUUCUUGCAUUCAAGUAUCUUAGUGAGUUCAUUCAAGCACCAAGUGGAAGAUGCAUAGUUUUGGGAGAAAACGAUGACAUAAAUCUUUGAUUCUUCUAUUGCAGAGAGUAGUGCAGGUGAAAUUUCUUCGCCCCGGGGUAGUCUCUCGUCAAUAUAUGCUUGAAUGUUCUUCCUUUGCAGUGCUGCAUGAAGGUGACGAAUGAAGUUGUCACGUGUGUCUUCCCCUCUGAAGCUGAGAAACACAUCAUGCUUUGUUAGAGAAGCAGACACGGGGAAUGAUGAAGGACUUCCUGACAUUGGAAUCAAUUUUCUCUCUUUUCUCUUGCAACUCUCAGUGCCUUUGUUUGUACACAAAUCAACUCUUGGAAAAGUCUUUGAAUUUUCUCAAAAGUAUCUUUCACAGAUCACGCACGCGUGGAAACAUAGCUGUGUUAAAAUCCUUAUUUAAGUUUUAAUUGGGCCUUGUAGUGGGCUUUGUAAUGUGCUUUUCUUUUCUCCUACAUUGCUUUAUAUAUACACCUCAGCGUUUGCUUUCUACAUUUCAUUUUACAAAAUACAUUCUCUCAUUUUCUACCUUUUAUAUUGUCUGAUUCCGUUCUCUCUUUAUUUUUUUUCAAAUCUCUUUUGCUUACAAUUUUUUUUUCUUUUUUAAGAAAUGUACUUUUUCAAGUUUAAUUUAAUUUUAUAAAACAGUCAUCUUUCUACAGUAUUAUCAUCUCUUACGUGAGAUUAUUAUAUAUUAUUUGGUGAUCUAAGUAAACUUUUAAUCCAAUAAACUUUAAAAAUAAUUCUAAUACUAUAUUAAAAAAUGAAAUUUAAAUCUAAUUCUAUUUUAUAAAAUAUAUUUAUUCAAUGCUAAAAUAUCUCUAAUUGAGUAGGGAUGUUCAAAAUACUUAUUGGUUCUUGAUUUUCACUUUCACUUUUAAGGUUUUUCUUCGCAGACACGUAGUAAACAGAAAUACAAAAAUAUGAGUCAAUGGAAGAGUCUAACGAUUCGCAGAAUAUUAUGGUGUCUAGCUUUAUACCGCAUUAAUGCGAGGAGUUUCUUUAAUAUUUUUACUCAAUUUAUUUAUUUUUAAUUCUUUUUUUUUUCACACCUUUUACAAAUAAAGAAUCGUAUUUCUUUAAUAUAUUUUAGAAAAUAACCACUAAACCUUAUUAUAAAAUAUAUUUAUGAAAUGCACGUGUAAGAAUAACAGGAAAAAUAUUACUACGAAAAACAAUAUAUUAAUAUUAAUAUGUUUCUUAAUAAAUUUCAUACCCACUGUCUAUUUAUAAAUUAAUAUAAUAUAAAUAUCUUUAAUGAUGUUUUUGUGGGUAGCUUAUUUCUCUAACGCAGAAUAUUAUGGUGUCUACUUUUAUAAAACAUUACAUUUUGAUUUUAAUAUUUAUUAAAUAUUUUUUAUUUGGGAUGAAGUAACGAUGAUGAAUCGAAUGUGUUUUGAAGUCUGACAUAACUUUUAGAGAUGUUAUGAGAACGGUUAAUGACGGAAAUUAUCAAAAACCUUUUGGGGGAAGGUUGUGGUUUUGGGAGGUGAUUUCAGGUAAAUAUUGUUAGUGGUAAAAAAAGGAUUAAGAUAUGAUGUUGUGAAGUCAACAAUCAACUUUUCUCAUUUGUGGUUAAAUUGUCGAGUCUUAAAACUUUCUCAAGGAAAUCCAACACGAUCUAUUGAUUGAGCCCACAAAAACACCUUUGUUAUCAUUGGUGAAUUUUGUUUAUCCUAAUUUAUUGACUGAUAUGUUAUGUCCUGAGUACUUUGAGUAUGGAGCAAUACUUUGUCCGACAACUGAAUCAGUAGAGCAAGUGAAUGAUUUUAUUUUAUCUCUGUUAAGUGGUAAAUAAAUAAAUUAUCUUAGUUCGGAUACACCUUGCCAAUUAGAUUAAGAUCAAGAAUUUAAAGUGAAUGGUUCACUUCUGAGUUCUUAAAUGAGAUAAAAUGUUCAGAGAUACUAAAUCAUCGCCUUCAUUUGAAAAUUGGCGUGCCUAUUAUGCUUUUGAGAAAUAUUGAUCAAACCAACGGUCUUUGUAAUGGAACAAGGUUGCAAGUUAUUGAUUUGAAGAAAAUGUUAUUUGUGCAAUAGUUCUAACAGGAACAAAUAUUGGUGAUAAAAUCUUUAUUUCAAUAAUGAAUUUGAUCCCUUUAGAUGUAGGUAUGCCAUUCAAAUUCUAGAGAAGACAAUUUCCAAUAACUUUAUGUUUUGCAAUGACAAUUAAGAAAAGUCAAAGUCAAUUAUUGACCAAAGUUGGUUUAUAUUUUUCACGUCCAAUUUUCACACAUUGAUAGUUGGAUGUAGCUAUUUAUAGAGUUAGAAAGAAAAAAAUUUAAAAAUUCUAACUCUUGAUGAAGAUGGGAAUGCAACAAACAAGAAAAAGAAAAUGUUUACACUGAAACUUUUGACAAUAUUUAAAAACAAUAGAAUUAUAUGAUAAACUUGGAAUAAUGGCUAAUUCUCCCUGCACCCAAUAUUUUUGAACAUGCAACUUUUAAAUUUGCUCCCUUGUAAUUAUAUUUUCUUAUGUGUGAUGUAGUAACAGUUGCCUUAUUUAAAAUGUUACUAAAUAACAUAUCAUUUAUAUCUGUUAUUUUUAUUCUGUUCUGAUUUUAUAUAUAUGUUAACGAAGUUGAGAAUUUUCUGAUUUUACAGGUCCAUGCACAAACCUAAUAUAAUGAUAUGAUAUUCAAUAUCAAGAGGUACUUGUCGUAAAACGGGGAAUAUGAGAGACUCCAUAGAAUGAAGAAAAAGUAUAAAGAGGAUUUACAAAUUACCCUUUCAAAUGCAGCUCCUCAGAAUUUCUUAAUGCCUUCACUGCAAAUGCAACCCAAAUAAGCUAAAGAAGUUAAUCAAACUAUACAUUAAGAGUUUCAAGAAAAUGAAACUCUGGAACAACAGAGCAACCCAUCUCAUGCUCAAUAGAAACAUCAAACUAUAUCUAACAAUAACUUAGAAAUCUUUGUCAACAAUUGAACGAACCCACUCCUAAAAUGCCAUUGAAAAUGUAAAUAAAUAAAUAAAAAUUAAAAAUGAGAAUUCAUAAUAAAAUUUCAUCGUGUUGAAACUUGUAAUUUAGAAGUAUUACGAUAAGCCAGUUUUGAUCCUCGCGAAUGAAAGACUAAUUAGCAGAAAGACUGUGCAAAAUUCCUUCCACUGGAUUCUUCGAUGUCAACUGAUUUGGUAUAAAGAGGACAUAUGCCGCAUUCUUUUAUUGUGAUAACUGAUUUCAACUCUCUCACAAGUAAUUUGCGAUUUGACCGAUUUGGCCGCAGAAAGGGAUCAUCAUAAUCAUGCGAACUGAUCUCAAAAGUGAAGCUGCGAGCAUCACACAGCCUAAGGCUCAUGCCGCUUGCCCUUAGGGACUCCAAGUUAAAUUUCCACACCAAUGUGUGAUCUUUAUCAACACCUCUCUCUUCAUCAUCCCAUCUGAAAUAGUUGUUUAACACAUCAUUAUUUGGAAUUAUCCGUGUGCCAUGAUCAUCAGAUUCAAAUUUUAGGCUGUAACCAAAGGAACCAUAUCUACCUUUAACAACUUUCGUAUCUAACACUUCAAAAACCACACACAAAGCGAAACCACUGAGCCUAUCAUCGCUUAAAAAACUUAAAUCUUCAUUUAUAGUCACUGAAUGUCCCUUCCCACGAAAAUGGAACCAACCAGGAACUGCACUCCCUGGAAAACAGAAGAACACACACCUAUAUCUAUCGUCGGUCAUCCUAAGCCUUGCAUCCUCCUCAAUGUUAGCACGACCACCUGAAUCCAGUUGUUGAGCAUUGGUCAAAAGAAAUUUGAAGAAACCCUCUUUGGAAUUUGACAAGUUUGGAACAAGAGAAUUGGACAUCACUCUUCUAAUGGAUGGGCAAUCCAAUGCCACUAGUUUUUUUAGAAAUGGUGGAAUCUCUGGGAUGCAUUCAAGCUUUUUGCAGUCGCUUAAAUCAAGCGAUUUCAAGCUUGAAAGAUGAGCAACGCUCUCAGGAAGGUUCACAAUUCCGCUAUCACACAGUGACAGUUCCAUUAAUGACGUCAAGCGACCGAUAUCUCUAGGGAUUUCUGUUAAUCUGGCACACCCCGAACAAUCAAGUUUAGAGAGAAGCUUGAGAUUAACAAUGGAGUUUGGAAGUGACUCCAGAUCAGUGCAUUUGCGGAGCUCCAGGGAUCGAAGAUUAACCAAAUUGGCAAAUGAGGAAGGCAGUUCUUUAACAGCCGUACAUAUCAAGUUAAUGUGAUCAAAAGUAGGAGCCGGCUCUGUGAUCUCUGGGAAGGUCCUCAGACUUGAGCAACCACACAAAUCAAGGUUCCUCAACUUCAAAUUGAAAAUGGUGCUUGGAAAAGUUUGUAGUGAACUACAGUGGGUAAGGUCUAACUUGCAUAGUCUGGUGAGGCUUCCAAUGGAAGAUGGAAUAAUCUCAAGAUUGAAGCAACUGCACAAACUCAGUUGUUGAAGCCCUACCAAACGGCACAAGGAUGAAGGUAGUGCCUGUAUGGCUGUGUCGUCUAAGAUGAGCACCACUAGAUCUUCCAACGUGUCCUGAAUCUGGGGUAAAUUUUCCAAUUUUGAGCAACCACGGAGUGAAAGUUGCUUUAGGAACUUCAUAUCAGAAAGGUCAAAUGGAAAGAUUGUAAGGGAAGAACAGUGAGAGAGAUCUAAGUGACAGAGCCUCUUGAGAUUUUGAAAGUUUGAGGGUACACCUUCGAGUAUUGUCGACACUUCACAUUGUGAGUAUAUAGUAUUAUUACCCACUUCUUCUUCGUUAUAUCUGUCAAAACUAAUUGAGGAAAUUUCACUGGAAGUUGGGAAAAUACCUUUAGCAUUAUGGAAUUUAACAGUCCCUCCCAAAAGUAAACUUGAGAAAGUUGGACGUUGACCCUCCAGUUUCACAUGAAGGUAUCUGGGUUGACUGGUUGAAAACAUUUCAAGCUCCUCACAGUGAGAAAGAAUGAUCAAUCCUGGAGAUGUGGAUAAAAUCUUGUUGGGAAUAUUUACACUUUUGAGAUGAUAACAAUGAUCUAAACAUAAACAACUGAGCUUGCUGAGGAAUAUCGAAGAGUGAACUUUAAUCAACUUUUGACAAUAACUCAGAAUUAGUUCUUCAAUAUUCGGUGACAGAGAAAGGUCUGGUAUUCUAGUAAGUUUCAGAGAAUGACUCAGGUUGAGCCUUUUCAAGUUGGGUAAAUUCUGCCACAAAAAGUAAAUGAAUCAGGUAACAAUGAAAAACUAAAAUAAAGUUUUAUGCAAUUUUAUCUAUUUUUCUUCGGUAAACUAUGAGCUACAUCAUCUAUCGAGUUUAUAUUUUACAUAAAACCACUGUUAAAAAAAUCACACUGUUAACUAACAAAAUUAUGGUCACUAUAAAUUUUAUAGUUAUUAUAAAAAUUCACAAAAUUUAACGUGUUUUUGUUCUCUACCUAAAAUUACAUCCUAAUAAUUUGAACCUAAGCUUAUUAUGUAUUGAAAAACUUACUAUAGUAAUUUAUAAUCCAUGACAAUGUCGAAAUACUUUAUACUAUGCAUGUUAAAAUUUGAUAAAAUGUCGAAAUACUGACAAAAUAAAAAUGGUGUUUUCCGAGAGUUAAAAUUAAACUUUAGUUAAAAUAAGUCCAUCUUUACAUAUUUUAUAAUUUGUUGUAUAUUAUAUUGAAGUUGAUGUUAUAAUAAAAAAAUGACUUAAUUAAUCGAAAAAUGUGGAGAAAACACAAAGAAAUUGCAAAUGCUUGUAUAAUUUAUUUUUAUCUUUGAAAGUUUAAAAGACAAAGGAACAUAGAUAACUUGAAAAACCUGAUCUCCUUCCCAGAGUUGUUCAAGACGGCAGCCUGGCAUUUCGAGGAUCACUAGAUUUUGUGGGCAAAAGUUUGGAGGCCAAAAUCUUUGCGGGAAAUCUCUCCAAUAAAGAAACUUUAGAGUGUCUGGCAGACCUACGAGAGAUGAUUCAAGAGACACAUUUGAUAUGUAUUCAGUUGAGUAGAGUAAAAACGUCCAAAGAUCAUCCAACUCUUUACGAGACACAUCUGAUAUGUAUUUAGUUUUAUUUUGCUCGUAUCUAGUAAUAUACACUGUAUUGCAUCUGACCCCUGAAAGUAAAUCAAUGUAAUUAGAAGAAAAAAACAUGAAAUGUUGCAUUGCAGGAUGUUUGAUGACAGCUCAGUGGUUUGCAAUUUUUCACAAAGUAAAUUAAUGACAGGUCAGUAGUUAUAUACCUUAUUCUUUCUUAAAACCUCACAAAUUUCCUCAGCAUUAAACAAUCGGCUGCGUUUUCCAGGAUGCUGAGGACACUCUUUACGAACAAUUUCUUUACCCAUUUCUUCUAUUAGAUCGUGCAUCACAAUUCUACCAUCAAUGACAGAUAUUAGGCCCCUAUCUUUCAGAAUAUCCAUUCCAAUCUUAGAAGAGAAACCAAAGUCAUCAAGUCUUUCUGCUACCUCAAUCUCCUCGUGACCUCUAUAAAAGCAAGCUAUGUCAAGAAAUAUAUUCUUCUCCUCCUCCUCCAGCCCAUCAUAACUUAAUUUUAAUACAUUGAAAAUACCAAGAUGUUGGCCCUUUUUCAACUUUUGCAACUCACUCUCCCAUGCUUCUCUUGUUCUGCCAUAAAGCAAUGACCCCAAAAUCUGGAGAGCUAACGGAAUCCCUUUUGCAUAUCUCAACACCUUUUCUGACAGGUCCAUGUAAGAUUUUUCUGCUGAAGAUUUUUGUUUAAAAGCAUGUAAACUAAAAAGUUUAUGAGAAUCAUCAAAAUUCAACUCCUUAACCUCGUAGAUAUCAUCAGCUCCAGCAUUUCUAAGCACUUGUCUGUCUCUACUGGUCAUAAUGAUUCUACUGCCCUGCCCAAAACUACCACUCCCUCCUAUUAAUUUUUUAAGUAUAGCUGAAUCGGUAACAUCAUCAAGAAUGAGGAUAGCCUUUGUCCGUUUGAGCCUUUCAUUGUAAUAUGAUAAAUCAGGGGAUUUCUUUAUCUCUUCCUUUAGAAGCACAGACAGAUAUUUUCUUCUGAUACUGUCUAUUCCAUCUCUUUGUAUUUUUUCUUGAACGUCUAAAACAAGGCUGCUGGAAUCAAACUGCACUGCCAAUUUCUGAUAUAUUUGAUUACAAAUUGUAGUUUUUCCUAUUCCUCCCAUGCCACAAAUUCCUAUGAUCCGAACAUCCGUUGACUCAAGAUGCAACAAGGACUGAAUUCCUUCAAUAUUUUUUUCAAUGCCGAUGAUUCCUUGAUCAUAACUGGUGGAAUAACGAUUCAAUUUUCUCAAAAUAUCUUCCACAAUUUCUUCAACAAGUGCGUGUUCUGGCCUGGCAGAUGAUUUAGAAAAUAAAGUAUAAGUAUUCAAGCACAAAAGCUAAAGUAAACUAAAGAAAAAUUUUACAGUAACCGUUUGUGACUUCUGAUACUAGGGAGCAGACUUGUAGGUACAAAGUUAAACUAUAAGAUCAGAUAUGGUUCAGAUCCAUGACCGACUAAGAGAAAUGAAAAAAGAAACACUUGAUUUAUGGUGAGAUGAACACAAUUUUAGUAAAUGAAAAGAGAUCCUGAUUAUCUAACAAAUAUAAUGACCUGGUGACUUUUGAAUCCCAGCCUGCAAGUUUAGCAGCUUCAGUUAGAGCAUCCUUCCAUCCUUGCACUUUAUCGUGCUUAAGGUGCUGCUCAUGCUUUUCGAAUGCUUCAUUGUAUCUUUGUUCCUGCUUCCUAAUAGUUGAUGGAUCCACCUUGUAGAAAACAGGUAUGACAUCCCUUCCAAAUCUCUUCUUGCAUUCAAGUAUCUUAGUGAGUUCAUUCAAGCACCAAGUGGAAGAUGCAUAGUCUUGGGAGAAAACGAUGACAUAAAUCUUUGAUUCUUCUAUUGCAGAGAGGAGAGCAGGUGAAAUUUCUUCGCCCCUGUUUAAUCUGUAAUCAAUAUACGCUUCAAUGUUCUUCCUCUGCAGCGCUGCAUAAAGGUGACUAAUGAAGUUGUCACGUGUGUCUUCCCCUCUGAAGCUGAGAAACACAUCAUGCUUUGUUAGAGAAGUAGACACGGGGAAUGAUGAAGAACUUCCUGACAUUGGAAUCAAUUUUCUCUCCUUUCUCUGCAAAUCUCAGAUUCCUUUGUUUGUACCAUUUCUACCUGAAGAAGUGUUUAAAUUUUCUCAAAAUACCUUGCACAGCGUGUUCUGGUCAGACAUAAAGAAAAAGACAAAUAUUAAGUUAAUAGAAUAGUCAACAAUUUAAAAAAUAAGUAUGAAAUAUAGAUAUAUAUCAUUAUCACGUGUGGAAGCUACGUCGUCUUGUAUUGGAUUUUCUAAUCUGCCUUUUAUCUUGUCUCAUUCUUCUUUAUCUUUUUUCUCUCAUCUCUCUUGCUUACGAUUUCUUUGCCUUUAUUCAGAAAUUUUAUUUAUAAUAAACCUUCAAUAAUAUUUGUACUUUCUAGCAUAUAGAAUACUUAAUGGAUCCUUUUCUGAUUUUUCUUUUCUAAAGUGCAAUUGAUAUUUUAAAUGUUUUUCUAUUUAAUUUUCCUUUCUUAAUGACACAUAAAAUGGUUCAGUGCACAAUUAAUUACUCUCACCUUAGAUUUCAUUCAUCUCAUUCCAUUUCCACACUCAAAUCAUUCUCACAUUUGUUUCUACCUGUUUCACAAAGUUUUAGUUAAAAUAUGGAAAUUAAUGUUCAAGAACCCUACUUAAUAUUAAUAUUCAACAAUUUAAAAUAUUAAAAUGCAAAUUAAUCUUUCUUAAUAAUGUCAUUUUUAUGUAAAAAAUAAAAUGUAGUUUAGUCAUUUAUACUUAGAUGGAUAAAGAUGGUUUUAGAAAAAAAAAUGCAUUUUAUUUCAAAGGUUAUCUAAGCUCUGAACUCAUUUAUGAAUUAAUAAUAAUAAAUAAUAUGUAAUUGUAUUCCAAUACCAUAUAAUUUUUUUUAUUGGGUGCGUUUCUGAUGAAUUAAUUAAUGCACUCUAGGGACAAUGAUCGCUCUAGUAUUUGAUUUUUUUAUUUAUUUUAAUGUUGAAAUUAUAGCUAUUUAGUACAGAUACUAUUGACACCGACACAGAUACGACACAGACACAGAGAUACUUAAAAUCUCUAAAAUGUAAGAUACAGAGACAUUAAUCUAUAUAUUAUAUAAUUAUGAAUUAUAUAAAUUAACAAUAAAGACUUAUGUGCACAAGUAUUUUGGAGAUUAUUUUUUAAGCAGAAAUAUGUUUUUCAUGACUGUUUCACAAAGAUUUGUUUCUUAUUUUUAUAAUCAUAAUAACAAUUUAUACCAUAAAGUUUGAAUUUUAGAAAAUUAAUGUAUUUUUUCUUUUUAAAAUUCCGUUAGAAUCGUACUAAAAUUGUAAAAAAUCUAACAAAUACAUUUUGAAUUGGACAUUUCACAAAUACAUGUCCUACCAGUAUCAUACGAAUGUAAACAAAAUUCUUUCUUCAUAUGCCGCAUUCUUUUACUGUGAUAACUCAUUUCAACUCUCUCACAACUGAUUCGUAAUCUGUGGGAUGCAUUAAAGCCUUUUGCAGUUAAAUCAAUAGUAUAUGAUGAUGUGAAUGUUAUUUAUAUACUAAAUAUAAUCACAUAGUAACUUCAAAUUUGAUAAGGUACAACAUGUUACCAUAUCUCUUUUAAUUUCUUUUAUUUCAUUAUAUAUUUAGGUGUAUUUAAUUUCUUUUUAUUUCAUUGUGUAUUUAGGUGUAUUACGUAAAAUAUAUAAUUAAAAAGAAAGAAGAAUAAUGUUAUUUUUAAAUUUAAAGAAUGACAUAUAGAAAUAAACAAGCUAUUUUGAAAUUUUUAGAUUUUACAAAACAUUACAUUUUGAUUUUAAUAUUUAUAAAAUAUUUUUUAAUUUCAUAUUUAAAACACAACACUUAGUUGAGUGUGUUCCUUAGUUACUUACCAAAUAACAACAUACAUCUUAUCGGGUCUUUUUGCGACCCGACCCAAACUCAUCUCGAUCCUAGUAGGGUUCGCAUCAUCUUCAAUUGAGGAGUAGAUUUGUCAGGAGGAAAAUAAAUUGAUUUAUAAGAACAUGUGAAGUUGUUUAGAUUGAGGAAUAAUAGAUGGAUUUUGAUUAUGAUUUAUGGUAAGUUUAAAAAAAAUAGAUUUGUUUCUUUUAACAUUUUUUGUAUUAUAAUUAUUUGCUGGCUGAAUUGUUUUGAGUUAACAUGUUUUCUUGGGGUAUGAUAUUGUGAGGUUUUAUUACAUGCAGGUACGUGAAUAUUUUUUUUAUUCUAGUUGUAUAAAUCAGGAAAAAAUGUUUUUCACAAUAUAAUUAUAAUAACCGUUUAACAACCUAAAUAAUAAUAAAAUAUUAACUCAUAUUAUUUAAUUAAAUUAUUAAAUAAAAAGUAGUAAAACUGAUUGUAGGAUGGGAAUAUGAUUAUUUUUAACUGCUAGCUCCUCAUUAUUCUUUUAUAAUAAAAAACACACUAGUAGGUGUUGAAAAUCGUAAUAUAACAAACAAGUUUUGACACACGUAGGUUUGGCAAUUGUUUUAAUAGCUGAAAAUAGUAAAACAAUUUUUAAUUACCACAAACUGCAUCUUAAAUCAUAAAAAAUAGCAUUUUUUAGUUCAUAUAUAAUAACAUUUCCAUAAAUAAAUCUCCCGCCGCCAUUGAUAUUAAUCAUUAAUAAUUUUAGAUAAUAUUUUUUACUAUAAAACAUUUAAUUGAGAUUGAAUUUUUAAUUCACACUUUUUGGUCAAAGAAUAAUAUAUUUCAUUUUUUUAUUUAUUAAAUAUUUUGUAUAAUGCUGAGAAAAAAAAAUCUCACACACACACACACAUAUAUAUAUAUAUGAUCCCUAUGUCCUACAAGUACAAUAUAACAUCGUUAGUAUAAUGAAUAAAAAUAAUGAGUAUUCAAAGUCGUGUAUUUACGUAAAAGAAUAACAUGAUUUUUAAAAGAACUCACAUUAUCAGUUUAAAUUUUGACGAUAAAAUACAUUAAUUAUAUAUAUUUAUUCAAAAUUUCAAUUAUAUUAUGCAUUAAUGGUUUUAUGCUUUUAGAGGAAUCAGAGAAACUUAGAAAAGCUUAAUGAAACCCUAUGAAUAAAGGAGAUGUAAAAGAAAGAGAAAAAGGAAGUGAGAAAAGAUGAUAAUUAAUAAACACCCACUCUUCAUAACAUAGAGUCUUUAAACCUAUAUUCCCUCAAACAGCAUUUAUAAGUUAUUAUCACCCACAUGGAAUAAGGUGCCUCAAUGUGAACAAACCAAGAUCAGUAAGAAAUAUGAGGUUCAAAUAACGAAGCUGAGAAUUUUCUGGUUUUACAGCUCCAUGCACAAACCUAAUACAAUGAUAUGAUAUUCCAUAGGAUGGAGAAAAGUAUGAUAUGAAGAGGAUUUACCAAUUACCCUUUCGAAUGCAGCUCCUCAGGAUUCCAUCAUGCCUUCACUGCACAUGCAACCCAAAUAUGCUAAAGAAGUUAAUCAAACCCAAAUAUAAAGAAUUUCUAGAGAAUGCAACUCUGGGACAACAGAGUACCCCAUCUCAAGCUGAACAGAAACAUUAAACUAUAUCUAACAAUAACUUAGAAAUCUUUGUCAACAAUGAACGAAUCCAACCGUAAAAUGCCAUUGAAAAUGUAAAUAAAACAAAAUAAAUUAGAUAUGAGAAAUUCAUGAUAAAAUUUCAACACUUGUAAUGUAGAAGCAUUACGAUAAGCCAGUUUUGAUCCUCACCAAUGAAAGUCUAAUUAGCAGAAGAGGAAGAGACUAGUUGACUGGGUAGCUUUCUGCAAUGCCUAUUUUAAGGUUACGCUUCCGGCAAAAAUAUAAUAGAAGACUGCUCUCAUGUCAAAGUUUCUCAUACAUAGAACAACCCGCAAAAGAGAUUAAACAUUCCAAAAGAUGUCUCAACAGAAAUGAAAUGAGAUCCUAACAACUUGUUGGGAAAGUACUAUUUUGCCUUCAAUUCCAUUACUUCCUUUUGCCUUUAAGAGUGCAGUCAUAAUCAUCAAAAUACUUAGACUUUGUGAUAUGUCUUUUGGGCUUGCUAUUCAUCUUUUGUUGCCUCCUCUUGAGCCAUAACACUUUUGGCCUUCCUCUUCCUAUAUUCCCUUGUGUCUCUUGAAGACUGUGCAACAUUACUUCGACUGGAUUAUUCAAUGUGAACAGCACCACCAUAUUCAUCAUCUUUCUUUUUGGAAUAAAGAGGGCAUAUGCCGCAUUCUUUUACUCUGAUAUCGGGCCACCAAUGGCUGAUCUCAAAAGUGAAGCUGCGAGCAUCACAGAGCCUAAGGCUCAUGCCGCUUGCCCUUAGGGACUCCAAGUUAAAUUUCCACACAAAUGUGUGAUCUUUAUCAAGAAAUCUGCCUGCAUCCGUCAAGUUUAACACAUCAUUAUUUGGAAUGAUCUGUGUGCCAUCAUCAUCAGAUUCAAAUUUUAGGCUGUAACCAAAAGAACUAUAUCUACCUUUAAUAUCAUUCGUAUCUAACACUUCAAAAACCACGCACAAAGAGAAACCAGUGAGCCUAUUAUCGCUGCAAAAACUUAAAUCUUCAUUUAUAGUCACUGAAUGUCCCUUCCCACGAAAAUGGAACCAACCAGGAACUGCACUCCCUGGAUAACAGAAGAACACAGACCUAUAUGCAUCGUCGGUCAUCCUAAGCCUUGCAUCCUUCUCAAUGUUAGCACGACCACCUGAAUCCAGUUGUUGAGCAUUGGUGAAAUGAAAUUUGAAUACACCCUCUUUGGAAUUUGAGAGGUUCCGAACAAGAGAAUUUGACAUCACUUUUCUAAUGGAUGGGCAAUCCAAUGCCACGAGUUGUUUUAGAAAUGGUGGAAUCGGUGGGAUGCAUUCAAGCUUUUUGCAGUCGCUUAAAUCAAGCGAUUUCAAGCUCGAAAGAUGAGCAAUGCUCUCAGGAAGGUUCACGAUUCCGCUAUCACGCAGUGACAGUUCCAUUAAUGACGUCAAACGACCAAUGUGCCUUGGGAUUUCUGUUAAUUUGGCACACCCCGAACAAUCAAGUUUAGAGAGAAGCUUCAGAUUAACAAUGCAGUUUGGAAGUGACUCGAGAUCAGUGCAUUUGCGGAGCUCCAGGGAACGAAGAUUAACGAAAUUGGCAAAUGAGGAAGGCAGUUCUUUAACAGUCGUAGAUGUUAAGUUAAUGUGAGCAAAAGUAUGAGCCGACUCCGUGAUCUCUGGGAAGGUCCUCAGCCUUGAGCAACCACGCAAAUCAAGGUUCCUCAACUUCAAAUUGAAAAUGGUGCUUGGAAAAGUUUGAAGUGAAUUACAGUGGGCAAGGUCUAACUUGCAUAGUCUGGUGAGGCUUCCAAUGGAAGAUGGAAUAAUCUCAAGAUUGAAGCAACUGUGCAAACUCAGUUGUUGAAGCCCUACCAAACGGCACAAGGAUGAAGGUAGUGCCUGUAUGGCUGUGUCGUCUAAGAUGAGCACCGCUAGAUCUUCCAACGUGUCCUGAAUCUCGGGUAAAUUUUCCAGUUUUGAGCAACCACUGAGACAAAGUUGCUUUAGGAAUUUCAUAUCAGAAAGGUCAAACGGAAAGAUUGUAAGGGAAGAACAGUCAGAGAGAUCUAAGUAACAGAGGUUCUUGAGACUUUGAAAGUUUAAGGGCACACCUUCCAAGAGACUGUUGAACACCUCUGAGUCUUCUGAGUCUGUAGCAUUAUUAGCCACUUCUAUAUUAUAUCUGUCAAAAGUAAUUGACAAAAUUUCACUGCUUGGGGAAAUUUCACUGGAAGUUGGGAAAUUUAUCUCUUUCGUCAUAUCCAGUUCCUGACGCUCCAGUAUGACAUGAGGGAGAAAUUUAUCUUCAUGUUUACUGAUUGAAAACAUAUUAAGCUUCCGACAAUGGGAAAGAGUAAUCCAUCCUGGUGAUGUGGAUAAAAUGUUGCUCGGAAUAUUUACACUAUUCAGAUCAUCACAAUGAUCUAAACAUAAACAACUGAGUUUGCUGAGGAAUAUCGAAGAGUGAAUUUCAAUCAACUUUUUACAAUAACUCAGAAUUAUUUUUUCAAUAUUUGGUGACAUAGAAAGGUCUGGUAUUCUAGCAAGUUUCCAAGAACGUGUCAGGUCGAGCCUUUUCAAGUUGGGUAAAUUCUGCCACAAAAAGUAAAUGAAUCAGGUAACAAAUAAUAACUACUUUAUCUAUUUUUCUUCCUAUUUAAACUAUUAGCUACUACUAUUGAGUUUAUAUUUUACAUUACUUAAAAACCACUGUUAAAAAAGCCACACUGUGGACUAACAAAAUUAUAUUUUAAAAUAUUAUUAAAGAUAAAAUAUGAAGAUAGGGUAAUUAAAUUAAAUAUAAUUUUUAUUUUUCAGAAAUGAUGAAAAUUAUAAUUAAAUUAACUAAAUUAUAUAAAAUUCCAUUUUAUUUACAUAACUCCUUUUCAUAUUAAAAAACUAUAUAAGAUCUUGAAACUAUAAUUAAUAUCUUAAAAAUUUAAAUAAUAAUAAUUAUUUCUACUCAUCCUUAAUUUUUGUUGGUGAAAUCUUGAUUUUUGGGAUAAUAUCACUUAAACUUAAGAAAUAUUUGACAUUAAUGAACUCUAAACAAAUUUAUAUAAGAAAUCAAGACAUCACUUUCAAUCCGAAAUCUUAAACUAAUAGGUUUAUGGAUUUUCUUUAUAUGUUGUUCAUCUUACCAAUUUGAACCCAAUGCGAGACUUUCAACUCUAAGAGAUGAAGUGGUGUACUUUAUGCUUCUAGGACUUGUUAGAUAUUGAAACAUGUACCAUUGCUAAAAUGUUUGAAUGAAGGAGAAGUCAAAGUCUCUCUCCUUUAGAGAUAUUCGCUCAAGUGGCAAGAGGUUGAUUAAGCAAGAGAGAGAUCGUAUUAAUUCUCUCUUCUAUGCAAUUGUUGUCGUUCAAACAAUGUGGAAUCAUUCAAGCAAAGAAAUCUUCUUUUGGGUUAGGAAACAAGGUUUUUCAAGCGAGAUAAACUCGUCUAAAGAAUUUAACUCUAGUAGUGAAAUGUUGUUGCCAUGAUUUAGCCAAGUGUUUGUAUCUAUGAGGCUAAUGAUGAUGAUGACGAUGAUAAGAUGCAUGAAUGUGUAUACACAAGUGUAUGAUAUACCUCAUGUUAUAUAUUGUAUGUGAUUCAAUUGAUGACCAUUUAUUUUUAGGCCAUUUAUAUGUAUAUUUUGGCCCUUUUAUGAGUAUGUGACGAGAUAUACCUAAGAUUGUAUUAUGAUCCUAAUGAGUCGAAGUAUCAAACACAAAACUCAUUAUGGAAAAAAAAAGAUAUUUUGUGCAUCAGUUAUGAUAUGAUCACAACAAUUAAAGCAUGUGUGAACGGUUAAUAUUGUUCUUAAUAAGAAAACAAAUAAUAUUGUAUGUGACAUUAGAGAUGUCAAAUAGGUUUAGAAAAUUAUUAAGUUUAAUUAUCUUUUUAGUCUUUAUAUUAAUGACCAAAAGUCAAUUCAGAUUUUUAGAAAGUUCAAUAUGAUUUAAUUUUUUAAAAAACAAUUCAAUGUGAUUCCUUCUAGUAUAUUUCCCUUAUUAAAAUAUUUUUAUCUUAAUGAUUCUGCCACUGUUAAGUUAUAUGUGUUGUUAUCACAUUGAAUUGUUUUAAAAAAAUUUGGAACCACCACAUUAAAUUGUUUUAAAAAGUUAGUACUAAAUUGAACUUUUGAAAAUUGGGAGAAUGAAAUUAAAUUUUGUCUAUUAAUACAGGGACAAAAAAUAAUUGAAUCAAAUAUUUUACUAUUUUUGUGAUGUAUAUUUAUAUAUAAAUAAUUUUGAGAAUUUAGAGUUACAAUGUGUUAUAUCAUAUAUAUAUAAUUCUUUUUGGUAAUGUAUCCUGUAGUUGUAAGCAAGUAUGAUUAUAUUAAGUGGGGCGUUUCAAAUAGUGGAGACUACGCAUAUACAAAUAUCUCUUAUAAAGUAAGAAAACAAAACAAUCGUUACUCAAGAAGAUCAUGCAAUGCAUCACAGACAACAUGGGAGAUAUAUAUCAACAAUAAUAUGAGUAAAUAAUACAUUCAUGGGCCAUUAGACGAUAUGCCUAAAAAAAAUAUGCAAACUAUUAAAUUUAUAAUUAUUUUUAAUUAGAAACAUGCUGAGUAUGACUCUUAUGAUAUAUGUAUAACUGUGUGCUUCAAAUAAAAGAAAUUUCAAAUCGAAUAAUGUGGAGAAGGCACAAAGGAAUUGCAAAUGAAAACCUGUAGAUGUAUAAUACACAAAACAUGCUUGUCUAAUUUAUUUUUAUCUUUGAAAGUUUAGAACACAAAGGAACAUAGAUAACUUGAAAAACCUGAUCUCCUUCCCAGAGUUGUUCAAGAUCGCAGUAUGGCAUUUCGAGGAUCACUAGAUUUUGUGGGCAAAAGUUUGGAGGCCAGAAUCUUUGAAGGAAACCGUUCCAAUAAAGAAACUUUAGAGUGUCCGGCAGACCUACAAGAGAUGAUUCAAGAGACACUUUUGAAUUCAAUCUAGGCAUGUAGACCAUAAGCAUCAUAAGAUUGUCCAUCUUUUCGAAACUUUGUGCAUGUACUACAGCAUCUUUUACUUUGUUCGUAUGAUAUUGAUAUACACUGUAUUGCAUCUGACCCCUGAAAGUAAAUCAAUGUAAUUAGAAAAAAAAACAUGAAAUGUUGCAUUUCAGGAUGCUUAAUGACAGCUCAGUAGUUUUCUAUUUUUCACAAAGUAACAACAGCAUAUACCUUGUUCUUUCUUAAAACCUCACAAAUUUCCUCAUCAUUAAACAAUCGGCUGCGUUUUCCAGGAUGCUGAGGACACUCUUUACGAACAAUUUCUUUACCCAUUUCUUGUAUUAGAUCGUGCAUCACAAUUCUACCAUCAAAGACAGAGAUUAGACCCCUAUCUUUGAGAAUAUCCAUUCCAAUCUUAGAAGAGAAACCACAGUCAUCAAGUGUUUCUGCUACCACAGUCUCCUCUUGCCCUCUAUAAAAGCAAGCUAUGUCAAGAAAUAUAUUCUUCUCCUCCUCCUUGAGCCCAUAAUAACUUAAUUUUAAUACGUCGAAAGUUCCAAGAUCUUGGCCGUUUUCCAACUUUUGCAACUGACUCUCCCAUGCUUCUCUUGUUCUGCCAUAAAGCAAUGACCCCAAAAUCUGGAGAGCUAACGGAAUUCCUUUUGCAUAUCUCAACACCUUUACUGACAGGUCCAUGUAAGCAAUUCCUUCUGAAGAUUUUUGUUUAAAAGCAUGUAAACUAAAAAGUUUCAGAGAAUCAUAAAAAUUCAACUCCUUAACUUCGUAGAUAUCAUCAGCUCCAGCAUUCUUAAGCACUUGUCUGUCUCUACUGGUCAUAAUGAUUCUACUGCCCUGCCCAAAACUAUCACUCCCACCUAUUAAUUUUUGAAGUUGAGUUGAAUCGGUAACAUCAUCAAGAAUGAGGAGAACCUUUGUCCGUUUGAGCCUUUCAUUGUAAUAUGGUAAAUAAGAGGAUUUCUCUUCCUUUAGAAGCUCAGACUGAUAUUUUGUUCUGAUACCGUCUAUUCCAUCUCUUUGUAUUUUUUCUUGAACGUCUAAAACAAGGCUGCUGGAAUCAAACUGCAAUGCCAAUUUCUGAUAUAUUUGAUCACAAAUUGUAGUUUUUCCUAUUCCUCCCAUGCCACAAAUUCCUAUGAUCCGAACAUCCGUUGACUCAAGAUGCAACAAGGACUGAAUUCCUUCAAUAUUUUUUUCAAUGCCGAUGAUUCCUUGAUCAUAACUGGCGGAAUAACGAUUCAAUUUUCUCAAAAUAUCUUCCACAAUUUCUUCAACAAGUGCGUGUUCUGGCCUGGCAGAUGAUUUAGAAAAUAAAGUAUAAGUAUUCAAGCACAAAAGCUAAAGUAAACUAAAGAAAAAUUUUACAGUAACCGUUUGUGACUUCUGAUACUAGGGAGCAUACUUGUAGGUACAAAGUUAAGCUAUUGUGUGAUAUGGUUCAGAUCUAUGACCGACUAAUAGAAAUGAAAAAAGAAGCACUUGAUUUAUGGUGAGAUGAACACAAUUUUAGUAAAUGAAAAGAGAUCCUGAUUAUCUAAUAAAUAUAAUGACCUGGUGACUUUUGAAUCCCAGCCUGCAAGUCCAGCAGCUUCGGUGAGAGCAUCCUUCCAUCCUUGCACUGUGUCGUGCUUAAAGUGCUGCUCAUGCUCAUUGAAUGCUUCUUUGUAUCUUUCUUCCUGCUUCCUAAUAGUUGAUGGAUCCACCUUGUAGAAAACAGGUAUCACAUCCCUUCCAUAUCUCUUCUUGCAAUCAAGUAUCUUAGUGAGUUCAUCCAAGCACCAUGUGGAAGAUGCAUAGUUUUUGGAGAAAACGAUGACAUAAAUCUUUGAUUCUUCUAUUGCAGAGAGGAGUACAGGUGAAAUUUCUUGGCCCCUGAGUAAUCUGUAAUCAAUAUAUGCUUGAAUGUUCUUCCUUUGCAGCGCUGCAUAAAGGUGACUAAUGAAGUUGUCACGUGUGUCUUCCCCUCUGAAGCUGAGAAACACAUCAUGCUUUGUUAAAGAAGCAGACAUGGCCAAUGAUGAAGGGUUUCAAUGUUCUCUGCAACUCUCAGAUCCCUUUGUUUGUAAGCAACUUCCAUAUAUUCUAUUAGGAAGGAAAAUAUAUAUUUCUACCAUUCCUACCACAAAUUGAAAAAGCCUUUCAAUUUUCUCAAAAUAUCUUUCACAGCUGUGUUCUGUCAGAUACGAAACAUUGAGUCAAUGGAAGAGUCAACAAUUGGCAGAAUAUUAUGGUGUGUAGCUUUAUACCAUUCUUACAAUAUUUGAUUGGUUGAAUAUAUACAAUAUGACUAAUGAACUUUUUUCUUUUCCGUAUUCCACGAUAAUUCCCUAGGCACCCUAUUAUACACUUUCUUAUCAACGGAAACCAUGUCUGUCCUUUUAUAGUUUUAAUCCUAUAAUAUCUUUCCAUUAAUCAUCAUUAUCACUCUUCAACCUUCAUAUCAAGUGUAUUGAUUUCAUACUUCAUCAGCUAGACAUAAUAAAAUCUCAAUAAUCUUUUAUACUGUCAACAUUUAUAAAAAAUAUUUCCUUCAAUAAUAUUUGUACUUUCUAGCAUAUAGAAUACUUAAUGGAUUCUUCUGUGAUUUUUCUUUCCUAAAGUACAAUUGAUAUUUUAACAGAUGCCGAAAGGUCUUGAAUAUGAGGCUGUUUCGAAAUGAAAAUUGGGGUAAAGCAUUUUCAAGUUAACAAGUUUUGUUGGGUGAGUGAGUGAUCAGUGCUAGCAUUUUCAAUCUCAGUUAUAGAAUGUAAAGAUUUACACAUUUAUUUGCUGAUUAAUAAUUUAUUUAUUGAAUUAAAUGUUUUAACAGUGAGUAUGGAUUCUUGAAUGAAUGUAAUCAUGGUGUAGAAUGUACAUAGUACAUAUAGUGAGUUGGAUUGAAAUGUUGAACACGUUUUCCUCUGCAAAGAUUCAGGAUAUUUAUGAACUUGCUAUAAAUUGUUUUAACUUUUCUCUGCAACUCUCAGUCCCUUUGUUUCUACCAUUUUGUUUUUGAAAAGCCUUUCAAUUUUCUCAAAAUAUCUUUCACUGCUGUGUUCUGUCAGAUACGAAACAUUGAGUCAAUGGAAGAGUCAACAAUUCGUAGAAUAUUAUAUUAUGGUGUCAAUAUUUAAUAAAUUUAUUUAUUUCUUUAACAUAUUUUAGAAAAUAACCAGUAAACAUAAAACUUUUAGUAUGACUAAAAGAAUAAAGAUAGUGUAAGAAUAACAGGAAUAACAUUACUACAAAUAACAAUAUAUUAAUAUUAAUAUGUUUCUUAAUAAAUUUUACACCCACUGUCUAUUUAUAAAUUAAUAUAUUAUAAACAUCUAUUGAUUUUUUGUGGGUAGCUUAUUUCUGUAACAUUUUAAAUUAAUUUUUUAGAUUUUACAAAACAUUACAUUUUGAUUAUAAUAUUUAGGACUGUGAUGCAAUUUCUGCAAUGAAGGCUGGCAGACUAAGUUUCUCCAAGCCCAAUUAAUACUGGGUUGAAAAUUCUGAGAAGAGGGUGAGUAUGAUGCUGCGGUCAUGAUCUAUGUAUUAAAGUGUUAAGGCAUGGGUUUGGUUGACAGGACAAUACUGGUUUUUCAUUGCUACUACUUAAUAUGAUUCUUUCUUACUGCUAUAUGAAUUUGCUGUCAAAUAGCAGUAAAUAAAAGACUUCAAAUAAAGCAUGUGUUUAUCAUACAUGGACUAAUGCAGCAGUUUUAGUAGAAGGGGCUAAUAUGAUUUUAAUCUAGAACAAGAUGGCUAAACCCAAAGAUGGUGGGAAUAAUAUCCUCAAAUCAAUUGUUUUGGUUUUCAGUGUAAUGUCAUUUGUAAGUAUCAAAAUUUGUUUGUUAUCACAUUGGAAGGUAGUAUCUGUCAUGAAAUUUGUGGAAGACCUUUACCUAUGUUUGCUUUGGGUCUGUUUUACGCCCUCUCGAAUUAAGUAAAUUUUUAAUUGCCAUCAUGAAAUUAGGCUAAAUAUGUGUAGUUUUGAGCACUUUCUUUCUUCCAUUUCAAUUCAUAGUUUCAUACAUAUUCAAUAUCAUGUGGGAAUUAAGUUCUUGCUUUUAAGGUGAAUAACAGUUUGUAUUCUUGCAGAAAACUAUUUUCUAAUGCAUAUAAAUUUCAUUUUCUAUUUUCAGCAUUGGAUUAUGUUAUGUAAUUUUUCCUUUGUAUUAUACAGAGUAGGAUUUUAAUGUUUCUACUGAACAGUGCUAUCUUUUUUCGUCCAUAUUCUGAUUUUGUUCAAUUUUUUUCAGUAUGUGCCACAUGCAGAUCAGAUGUAAGGAAUUUUCUAAAUUUUUUUUCAAGCUUUCUUGUUUGCUUAAAGUUUUCUGUAAGUAUUUAACUGUCUUAAGUUGUUAAUGAGGACUAAGGACUGAAAAAGAGAAUUAGCCAUGACAUGGUGGCAUUAUCCUUCUUCAAAACCAUUAGUUUUUUUUCCUACAAAGAUACAUGUCAAGAAAGCAAACCAGGAACAAAAGUGAUGUUUAUGAUUGCUUUCUCUCUUGUUUACUUGCUUUCUUUUUGUUGGACAAUUGUCUUAAUUGCAUUCACACCUAACCUGCAGUAGUUUCAGUCCCUUUGGGGUUGUCAUAAUUGCAGCCUCAAGAGUGGUGGUGUAGUCCAACAUCAACCAGUGAUAUAGUUCAAAUAUAGCAUAUACAUGAAAGUCGUGUUGAUAAUCAAAGGUUGCUUCAUCUUAACUAAUAACAUGUAAAUGUCAUUUGAAUGGUUAAAAAGGAAUUCACCAGUGUAACACAAAAUGAAUGGAUUGCUUGGUUAUGUGUCAACUGUUGUACUUUUUUUGAGUUGCUUGAAAAUAAUUAAAAUUUGUUUUCAUCUAGAUCUUGGUUUUUUCCUAUGAUCAAAUCUCGAUUUAUUUCUGUGCAGAACUUUCUUGUGGACAUAAAAGGACCAGCUAUAGCAUUUUUACCGGUGCUUGCAUUUGAAGGAGGAACUAGAAGAAAUAUACCUAGGUUUGAGGUGUGUAUAAAUUAUUUUUGAUGUAUUUCGUGAUGUAGAUGUAAAAUAAUGCAAUACUUUGUUUUUAGUUUCAAUGUUACUCUUUAUCUGCAGGUUGGAAACAUAUCUUGAUGAAAUAUAGAAACAUUUUUAUUCAUAAUAUAUAUAUAAGGAUUACACAUUCAUAAUUAUUUCUUUCUGUCGUAGCAUUGUCUACCUCAAAUCACUGCAACUUUCUGUUGUUGGUAUAAAAAUACAAUAUUUUAAUCCCAGUUUUGAUAGCCUCUAUUCUUCAGUGGUUGAGAUAUUUUUUAUAAGAAUUUAGAAGUUCUGAGAUAUUUAUGAUAAGAAUUUCAAGUUCUUUGUUACUAGCAGUUUAAUGGUUAUAUCAUUUUUGUUCUCUGGAAAAUAUCUUAUACAAAAUCGGUACUUAGAUUUGGUAUUUAUAUUGUUCAUAUGUAGAAAUCUAAUACUAGCAAAUUUUGUCUAAUUUAAAAGCAAUUACAUUCUACUCUUUGGAAUAUGUUCUGGCCUGCUUUUAUGAAUUAUUUGAAAAUUUGUAAUUAUAAAAUUUAGUCUUUGAAAUUAUAAAUUUAAUAGAGAAGCAUCCAUACUAAACUUUUAUAUUAUAAAUUGUCAGUUUUAUAUUGAAAACAUAUCCCCUUUAGUAUAAGACUUAAAGGAGAUGUCUUUUGGUAUAAAAACUGAAAUAAAAAAUAUUUUAACUAUAUGGGUCAAAUGGAUGAUUAAACUUAUAAAAUGUACAAUUAAACUUAUAAAUUAUAAUAAACGAUACUUUAAUUUUAAACUAUAUUGAACUUUUAUUAAUGUUCUCGCUUUUCUUUAAAAGCUAUUGAACUCUAUCUAACAAUAACUUAAAAAUGAGAAAUUCAUGAUAAAAUUUCAACACUUGUAAUCUAGAAGUAUUACGAUAAGCCAGAAGAGGAAGAGACUAGUUGACUGGGUAGCUUUCGGCGUUCCUCUUCCUAUCUUCCCCUGUUUCUCCUGAAGAGUGUGCAACAUUGCUUCCACUGAAUUCUUCAAUGUCAUUUUCUGAUGCAGAAUAGUCAACAGCACCACCAUAUUUAUCAUCUUUCUUUUUCGUAUAAAGAGGGCAUAUGCCGCAUUCUUUUAUUCUGAUACCUGAUUUCAACUCUCUCUCAACUGAUUCGUAAUCUGGCCGAUUUGGCCGCAGAAAGGGAUCAUACGGACUGAUCUCAAAAGUGAAGCUGCGAGCAUCACACAGCCUAAGGCUCAUGCCGCUCGCCAUUAGGGACUCCAAGUUAAAUUUCCACACGAAUGUCCCUUCACCAUCCCAUUUGAAAUAGCUAUUUAACACACCCUUAUAUGGAAUGAUCUGUGUGCCAUCAUCAUAUUCAAAUUUUAGGCUGUAACGAAAAGAACCAUAUCCACCUUUAAUAUCUAACACUCCAAAAGCUACACACAAAGCGAAACCAGUGAGCCUAUCAUCGCUGCAGAAACUUAAAUCUUCAUUUAUAGUCACUGAAUGUCCCUUCCCACGAAAAUUGAACCAACCAGGAACUGCACUCCCUGGAAAACAGAACAACACACACCUAUAUGUAUCGUCGAUCAUCCUAAGCCUUGCAUCCUCCUCGAUGUUAGCACGAGCACCUGAAUCCAGUUGUUGAGCAUUGGUGAAAUGAUAUUUGAAGACACCCUCUUUGGAAUUUGACAAGUUUGGAACAAGAGAAUUUGACAUCACUCUUCUAAUGGAUGGGCAAUCCAAUGCCUCGAGUUGUUCUAGAAAUGGUGGAAUCGGUGGAAUGCAUUCAAGCUUUUUGCAGUCGCUUAAAUCAAGUGAUUUCAGGCUUGAAAGAUGAGCAAUGCUCUCAGGAAGGUUCACGAUUCCGCUAUCACGCAGUGACAGUUCCAUUAAUGACGUCAAGCGACCGAUGUGUCUUGGGAUUUCUGUUAAUUUGGCACACCCCGAACAAUCAAGUUUAGAGAGAAGCUUCAUAUUAACAAUGGAGUUUGGAAGUGACUCGAGAUAAGUGCACUCUUGGAGUUCCAGGGAUCGAAGAUUAACCAAAUUGCCAAAUGAGGAAGGCAGUUCUUUAACAGCCGUACAUGUCAAGUCAAUAUGAGCAAAAGUAUGAGCCGGCUUCAUGAUCUCUGGGAAGGUCCUCAGCCUUGAGCAACCACCCAAAUCAAGCUUCCUCAAUUUCAAAUUGAAAAUGGUGCUUGGAAAAGUUUGAAGUGAAUUACAGUAGGUAAGGUGUAACUUGCAUAGUCUGGUGAGGCUUCCAAUGGAAGAUGGAAUAAUCUCAAGAUUCAAGCAACUGUGCGAACUCAGUUGUUGAAGCCCUACCAAACGGCACAAGGAUGAAAACUUAUUUUAUUUUUGCUGUUCAUGCAUAACAUUAACAAAUAUUGACAUGAGAGAUUGUGUUUGUAGGCUUCUAAGCUCACCAACGUGUCCCGUUCUUGAUGCUUUAGGGAAGAAAAUUUCCUUUGAGAUUGCAAAAGGACUCAGGAGAAUUUAGAAGUUCUGAGAUAUUUAUGAUAAGAAUUCAAGUUCUUUGUUACUAGCAGUUUAAUGGUUAUAUCAUUUUUGUUCUCUGGAAAAUAUCUGAUACAAAAUUGGUACUUAGAUUUGGUAUUUAUAUUGUUCAUAUGUAGAAAUCUAAUACUAUAGCAAAUUUUAUCUAAUUUAGAAGCAAUUAUAUUCUACUCUUUGGAAUAUGUUCUGGCCUGCUUUUAUGAUUGUAAUUAUAAAUUUAAUAGAGGAGAUUACCAAACAUCCAUACUAAUUAAACUUUUAUAUUAUAAAUUUUUUCAGUUUUAUAUUGAAAACAUAUCCCUUUAGUAUAAGACUUAAAGGAGAUGUCUUUUGGUAUAAAAACUGAAAUAAAAAAUCUUUUAACUAUAUGGGUCAAAUGGAUGAUUAAACUUAUAAAUGUACAAUUAAACUUAUAAAUUGUAAUAAACGAUACUUUAAUUUUAAACUCUAUUGAACUUUUUUUAAUGUUCUCGCUUUUCUUUUAAAUGCAUUUCACUUGUGUGUUUUGUAUUCAGGCUGAUUUUAACUUUAUUCUCAAAUAUACAAAAUAAUUUUUGGUAAUUAUCUUGUGUCGAUCUUGACUUGUAGUAUCAAUGUGAAAUAUGUAAUAAUUACUUUUCUAUGAUUCAGAGGGAAAAUUAUUCCAACUAGACUUUUACAAAUAUAUUUCAAGUGGUAAUAUGAUUUUAAAAAAAAUAGGAUUCGCCACAAAAAAAAGUUACUGUUCCUAAUUGACAUGGUGCUGUCAAAAUUAUUUAAUUACAAUUUAGAUCUUCACUCUACAUAUAAUUAAUUAAUUACCAAUUAUUUAAAAGACUAGUAAAUUAUAAUUUUAAUCUCUCUACAACUUUCUAAAUUUAGUUAUGAUUCUCUCAAAAAAAUUUCCCUUAAAUAUUAAUUAUAAUUACCUUUAGACAGAAACAUUUCUAAUUUAAACAAGCAAAAAUAAGAAAAAAAAAUAGAUUACAAAAACUAAAUUUGAAUUUUUUUAUAUAACUCCAAAUAUAUUUUAUCCAUAAAUAAAUUCUAUUAAUAUUUCAUUUCUGUUUAAAUAGUUUAUUCAUAUUUGUAAUAUUAUUUUCAAAAAACAAUAAUUGUUUUUUGAAUAAAGGUUUACAAAUUCUAUAAUAAUGUAAAUGAGAAGAGGAGUGAGGGUAAAAAUAUGAGAACCUAUGUGAGGGAAUCUUGUGACAAUUUAGCUGGUGUUCAACUUGUGAGAAGUCUUUCAACUUGGUUUUCAAGUUUUAUAUUCAAUUUCUGUUCCUUCAAAUGUUUCUGAUUUUACAGCUCCUCAGGAUUUUACAGCUCCAUGCACAAACCUAAUACAAUGAUAUGAUAUUCAAUCAGCAUUAAUUAGCAUAAACAGGUACCUUGUUGUAAAACUGGGAAUAUGAGAUUCCAUAGGAUGGAGAAAAGUAUGAAGAGGAAUUACCAAUCACCAUUUACCAAUCAUAAUGCCUUCACUACAAAUGCAACCCAAAUAUGCUAAAGAAGUUAAUGAAACUAUAUAUGAAGAGUUUCAAGAAGAUGCAACUCUGGGACAACAGAGCAACCCAUCUCAUGCUGAACACAAACAUCAAACUACAUCUAACAAUAAUUCAGAAAUCUUAAUCAACAAUUGAGCGAACCCACUCCUAAAAUGCCAUUGAGAAUGUAAAUAAAUCAAAAUACAUUAAAAACGAGAAAUUCUUAAUAAAAAUUCAACGUGUUGAACCUUGUAAUUUAGAAGUAUUAACGAGAAGCCAGUUUAGAUCCUCACCAAUGAAAGACUAUUUUACAGGUUAGCUUCCACUGGAUUCUUCAAUGUGAACAGCACCACCAUAUUUAUCAUCUUUCUUUUUGGAAUAAAGAGGGCAUAUGCCGCAUUCUUUUAUUGUCACAACUGACCACCCAAAGUCAUAAAGAGGACUGAUCUCAAAAGUGAAGCUGCGAGCAUCACACAGCCUAGGGCUUAGGGAUUCUAAGUUAAAUUUCCAGACGAAUGUGUGAUCUUUAUCAACAAAACUGUAUUCACCAUUCCAUUUGAAAUGUCUGUUUAACCUAUCAUUAUUUGGAAUGAUAUGUGUGCCAUCAUCAUCAGAUUCAAAUUUUAGGCUGUAACCAAAAGAACCAUAUCUACCUUUAACAGAAUUCGUAUCUAACACUCCAAAAACCACACACAAAGCGAAACCAGUGAGCCUAUCAUCGCUGCAGAAACUUAAAUCUUCAUUUAUAGUCACUGAAUGUCCCUUCCCACGAAAAUGGAACCAACCAGGAACUGUACUCCCUGGAAAACAGAAGAACACAGACCUAUAUCUAUCAUCGGUCAUCCUAAGCCUUGCAUCCUCCUCAAUGUUAGCACGACCACCUGAAUCCAGUUGUUGAGCAUUGGUGAAACGAAAUUUGAAGACACCCUCUUUGGAAUUUGACAAGUUUUGAACAAGAGAAUUUGGCAUCACUCUUCUAAUGGAUGGGCAAUCCAAUGCCACGAGUUGUUUUAGAAAUGGUGGAAUCUGUGGGAUGCAUUCAAGCUUUUUGCAGUCGCUUAAAUCAAGCGAUUUCAAGCUUGAAAGAUGAGCAAUGCUCUCAGGAAGGUUCACGAUUCCGCUAUCACGCAGUGACAGUUUCACUAAUGACGUCAAGCGACCGAUGUGUCUUGGGAUUUUUGUUAAUUUGGCACACCCCGAACAAUCAAGUUUAGAGAGUAGCUUCAGACUAACAAUGGAGUUUGGAAGUGACUCGAGAUCAGUGCAUUUGCGGAGCUCCAGGGAUCGAAGAUUAACGAAAUUGGCAAAUGAGGAAGGCAGUACUUUAACAGCCGUAUAUGAUAAGUCAAUGCGAGCAAAAGUAGGAGCCCGCUCCGUGAUAUCUGGGAAGGUACUCAGGCUUGAGCAACCACACAAAUCAAGCUUGCUCAAUUUCAAAUUGAAAAUGCUGCUUGGAAAAGUCUGAAGUGAAUUACAGCGGGUGAGGUGUAACUUGCAUAGUCUGGUGAGGCUUCCAAUGGAAGAUGGAAUAAUCUGAAGAUUGAAGCAACUGCGCAAACUCAGUUCUUCAAGCCCUAUCAAACGGCACAAGGAUGAAGGUAGUGCCUGUAUGGCUGUGGCGUCUAAGAUGAGCACCGCUAGAUCUUCCAACGUGUCCUGAAUCUCGGGUAAAUUUUCCAAUUUUGAGCAACCACGGAGAGAAAGUUGAUUUAUGAAUUUCAUAUCAGAAAGGUCAAUUGGAAAGAUUGUAAGAGAAGAACAGUGAGAGAGAUCUAUGUGAGAGAGCUUCUUGCCACUAAAUUGUAAGGGCACACCUUCGUAGUCUUCUGAGUAUUCUGAGUCUGUAGCAUUAUUAGCAUUUAUCUCUUUCAUCAUAUCCGGUUCCUGACGCUCCAGUAUGACAUGAGGGAGAAAUUUAUCUUCAUGUUCACCCAAUGAAAACAUAUUAAGCUUCUCACAACCGGAAACACUAAUCCAUCCUGGUGAUGUGGAUAAAAUGUUGCUGGGAAUAUUUACACUUUUGAGAUUAGAACAAUGAUCUAAACAUAAACAACUGAGCUUGGUGAGGAAUAUCGAAGAGUGAACUUCAAUCAACUUUGAACAAUAACUCAGCUUUAUUUCUUCAAUAUUCGGUGACAGAGAAAGGUCUGGUAUUCUAGUAAGUUCCCAAGAUUUAACCAGGUCGAGCCUUUUCAAGUUGGGUAAAUUCUGCCAGAAAUAGUAAAUGAAUGAGGUAACAAAUAAAAACUACUUUAUCUAUUUUUCUUCCUAUUUAAACUAUUAGCUACUAUCUAUUGAGUUUAUAUUUUACAUUACUUAAAAACCACUGUUAAAAAAACCACACUGUGGACUAACAAAACUCUGCCUAUAAAUUUUAUAGUUAUUAUAAAAAAUCACAAAAUUUAACGUCUUUUUGUUCCCUACCUAAAAUUACAUCCUAAUCAUUUGAACCUAAACUUAUUAUGUAUUCAAAAACUUAUGAUAGUAAUUUAUAAUCGAUCACAAUGUCAAAAUACUUUAUAUUAUACAUGUAUCAACUCACAAAAUAAAUGGUGUUGUCUCAGAUUUAAAAUUAAACCUUAGUUAAAAAGUCCAUCUUUCCAUAAUUUAUUUUAUUAAAUACAUAAUUUGUAAUUUAUUGUAUAUUAUAUUCAAGUUUAUGUUAUGAUAAAAAAAGUAUCUAAGGCAUUUUUAAUUAAAUAAUAUAAAAUAAACAACAUGAACUCAAUUAAAUAAUAUAAAUUUUUUUGAAUACUCGAUGGAAUAAAAAAAUUAAUAAAACCCUCAAUUUGAAAAUAACCAAAUUUAUAAGAUACUUAAAACUUAAUUAAACCUACAAAUUUUCAUUAUAUGGAAUUAAAUAUUGUAAAGAUUUACCACAUAAGUUUCAUAAGUAGAAGGUUUAAACAUAAAAUUCUUCACGUUGGGAGUUUCUUUCCUCUAUCUUAUAAGUUUUCGUUGUUUCUUUAAUAUUUUUUAUAUGGCUUCUGUCAAUGUAAUUUUUUUUUUGGUUUUAAAAUAUUAUUAAAGAUAAAAUAUGAAGACAGGGUAAUUAAAUUAAAUAUAAUUUUUAUUUUUCAGAAAUGAUGAAAAUUAUAAUUAAAUUAACUAAAUUAUAUAAAAUUCCAUUUUAUUUACAUAACUCAUUUUCAUAUUAAAAAACUAUAUAAGAUCUUCCAAAGUAGAUAUAAUACAUUCACGGGCCAUUAGAUGAUAUGCCUAAAAAAAUAUGCAAACUAUUAAAUUUAUAAUUAUCUUUAAUUAGAAACAUGCUGAGUAUGACUCAAAUAAAAGAAAUUUCAAAUCGAAUAAUGUCGAGAAGGCACAAAGGAAUUGCAAAUGAAAACUUGUAUAUGUAUAAUACAGAAAACAUGCUUGUAUAAUUUAUUUUUAUCUUUGAAAGUUUAGAACACAAAGGAACAUAGAUAGCUUGAAAAACCUGAUCUCCUUCCCAGAGUUGUUCAAGAUGGCAGAAUGGCAUUUCGAGGGUCACUAGAUUUUGUGGGCAAAAGUUUGGAGGCCAAAAUCUUUGAGGGAAAUGUGUCCAAUAAAGAAUCUUUAGAGUGUCUGGCAUAUCCACAAGAGGUGAUUCAAAAGACACUUUUAAUUCCAAUCCCCACGUGUAGAGCCUAAGCACCCUAAGAUUGUUCAUCUUUUCGAAACUUUGUGCAUGUACUACAACUUCUUUUACUUUGAAAGUAGAUAGUGAUAUACACUCUAUUGAAGUAGAUAGUGAUAUACACUCUAUUGCAUCUGACCCCUGAAAGUAAAUCAUGAAAUGUUGCAUUGCAGGAUGUUUGAUGACAGCUCAGUGGUUUGCAAUUUUUCACAAAGUAAAUCCAUUCUCAAUUGAGUAACGACAUAAUACCUUGUUCUUUCUUAAAACCUCUCAAAUUUCCUCAGCAUUAAACAAUCGGCUGCGUUUUCCAGGAUGCUGAGGACACUCUUUACGAACAAUUUCUUUACCCAUUUCUUGUAUUAGAUCGUGCAUCACAAUUCUACCAUGAAAGACAGAUAUUAGGCCCCUAUCUUUGAGAAUAUCCAUUCCAAUCUUGGAAGAGAAACCACAGUCAGCAAGUAUUUCUGCUACCACAAUCUCUUGUGACCUAUAUAAAAGCAAGCUAUGUCAAGAAAUAUAUUCUUCUCCUCCUCCUCGAGCCCAUCAUAACUUAAUUUUAAUACAUUGAAAAUACCAAGAUGUUGGCCCUUUUCCAACUUUUGCAACUGACUCUCCCAUGCUUCUCUUGUUCUUCCAUAAAGCAAUGACCCCAAAAUCUGGAGAGCUAAUGGAAUCCCUUUUGCAUAUCUCAACACCUUUUCUGACAGUUCCCUGUAAGCAAUUUCUUCUGAAGAUUUUUGUUUAAAAGCAAGUAAACUAAAAAGUUUCUGAGAAUCAUCAAAAUUCAACUCCUUAACUUCGUAGAUAUCAUCAGCUCUAGCAUUCUUAAGCACUUGUUUGUCUCUACUGGUGAUAAUGAUUCUACUGCCCUGCCCAAAACUAUCACUCCCUCUUAUUAAUUUUUGAAGUUGAGCUGAAUCGGUAACAUCAGUUAGAAGUGGAACACGUUUGUAGAAGUGGAACACGUUAGUUGGUUAGUUGCCUUAAGAAGCGGAUCAUGUAUUUUUUCUUGAACGUCUAAAACAAGGCUGCUGGAAUCAAACUGCAAUUCCAAUUUGUGAUAUAUUUGAUCACAAAUUGUAGUUUUUCCUAUUCCUCCCAUGCCACAAAUGCCUAUGAUCCGAACAUCCGGUAAGUCAAGAUGCAACAAGGACUGAAUUCCUUCAAUAUUUUUUUCAAUGCCGAUGAUUCCUUGAUCAUAACUGAUGGAAUAACGAUUCAAUUUUCUCAAAAUAUCUCCCACAAUUCCUUCAACAAGUGUGUGUUCUGACCUGGCAGAUGAUUUAGAAAAUAAAGUAUAAGUAUUCAUGCACAAAAGCUAAAACAAAACUAAAGAAAAAUUCAGAGUCAAGAAGAGUGAACAUCAUUGAAUAGAUUCACAUAUUGAUUGUAGGACGUUAUCUUCGAAUAUUAGUGUGGUUGGUUUAGAAAUUGCAAAUCAAGAUCGCAGAAAUUCUACAGUAACCGGUAGUGACUUCUGAUACUAGGAAGCAGUCUUGUAGGUACAAAGUUAAGCUAUAAGAUGUGAUAUGGUUCAGAUCUAUGACCCACUACGAAAAAUGGAAAAAAGAAACACUUGAUUUAUGGUGAGAUGAACACAAUUUUAGUAAAUGAAAAGAGAUCCUGAUUAUCUAAUAAAUAUAAUGACCUGGUGACUUUUGAAUCCCAGCCUGAAAGUCCAGCAGCUUCGGUGAGAGCAUCCUUCCAUCCUUGCACUUUGUCGUGCUUAAAGUGCUGCUCAUGCUCAUCGAAUGCUUCUUUGUAUCUUUCUUCCUGCUUCCUAAUAGUUGACGGAUCCACCUUGUAGAAAACAGGUAUGACAUCCCUUCCAUAUCUCUUCUUGCAAUCAAGUAUCUUAGUGAGUUCAUUCAAGCACCAAGUGGAAGAUGCAUAGUUUUGGGAGAAAACGACGAUAUAAAUCUUCGAUUCUUCUAUUGCAGAGAGCAGUGCAGAUGAAAUUUCUUCGCCCCGGGGUAGUGUCUCAUCAAUAUAUGCUUCUAUGUUCUUCCUUUGCAGUGCUGGAUGAAGGUGGCUAAUGAAGUUGUCACGUGUGUCUUCCCCUCUGAAGCUGAGAAACACAUCAUGCUUUGUUAGAGAAGUGGACACGGGGAAUGAUGAAGAACUUCCUGUUUAAUUUCUUCGCCCCUGUUUAAUCUGUAAUCAAUAUAUGCUUCAAUGUUCUUCCUCUGCAGCGCUGCAUAAAGGUGACUAAUGAAGUUGUCACGUGUGUCUUCCCCUCUGAAGCUGAGAAACACAUCAUGCUUGGUUAGAGAAGCAGACAUGGCCAAUGAUGAAGGGUUUCAAUUUUCUCUGCAACUCUCAGAUCCCUUUGUUUGUAAGCAACUUGCAUAUAUUCUAUUUCUAUCACAAAUCAACUUUUGGAAAAGCCUUCAAUUCAAAAUAUGCUUCACAGCUUUAUAUUAACGUGCCUAGCUUUAUACCAUUCUUACGCAUUGGUAAAGAUUCUUCAAUAUCUUUACUCAAUUUGUUUCUUCAAUACCUUUUACACAUUCUUACGCAUUGGUAAAGAUUCUUCAAUAUCUUUACUCAAUUUGUUUCUUCAAUACCUUUUACAUAUAAAGAAUCGGAUUUGUUUAAUAUAUUUUAGAAAAUAACCAGUAAACAGAAAACUAGGUUAAUAUGACUAAAUGAAUAAAGAUAGUACUCAUAAAAAAUAUUUUAGAUUACAAGUGGUAUAACUAAAAUAAAAUAUUUUAUUUUUAAAAUAAAAUUUAUAAAUAAAUAAAAAAAUAUAAUUGUUUAGUUUUCGGUGUAAAACAAUAUUCAUUUUUAUAAAAAAAAAUCUUUUCUCUUUUAUUUUAUUUUUAUAUUUCUAAUUAGAGUAUUCUUGAGUUUGACAAUAGAAUCCUUUCUUUGGACUUUUGGAAUUAAAUAAAGAUGUUAAUUGAAAAAAAAAAUUGAAAUAGAAACUAAUUUAGAAACCAAAUUUCUUUUUAGUUUCUAAAAUGGUCUCUAAUUUAGUUACUAUUGCAACUAAUUGUUUUGGUUUCUAGAAAUUGGUUUCUAUUUCAUGAUUUUCUUGUAGUGUAUACUGAAGGUGUGCACCCCUAUGAAAUGUUUUUAUUUCUAGUUGAUGUGUGAUUUCCAAUAAUUAUAUAAAUUGAUUGUUAUAUGCAGUGUGAAGUUUAACCUUGAUUUUUACUUGAAAAAAUGGAUUUUAAUAUGAGGUAUGCAUGCUCUCAUACUCAAAUUCAAUAAGCGGAAUUUUCACAUGUCAAUAGAAUUUGAACCUGCAUAGUUUUGGGCACUCUCCACCUCAAAUUCGCUCAAUGUUUUUUCCUGCGUUUAAGCGAAAUUACAUGCAGAUUUUGGAGUACUUUCGGGCUUAAAAUUGCUCAAAGAAAUUUCCCUAUGGCAAGCAAAUUUAAGCUACAAUUGUUUGGGUGUUCUUUGCCUCAAAUUCGUUGCCUCAAAUUCGUUCAGCGAAGAUUUCUCUGGGCUUAAGCCCCAACUUCAUGGGCUCGAGCCAUUUUGACAACAUUUGUCAUCUUUGCUUAGAUAUCUUUUGGUUUGUUUUCUAUAGGUCAUGAAAUUGAAUUAAAUCUUUUGAAAUUUAACAUGUGUUUAAAAUAAGUAAAUCUAACAUUUAUAAUCAUGCAACAUGUGUUUAAUUUAUAAAAAAAAUAUAAAACAAAUACUCAUUAUAUAUUCAAUUGAUAUGUAAAAUUUUAAAUAUUAUGUGAUUAUUGUUGAUAUUUUGUAACGGUUUUAAAAAUAUAAACUUCUAUAUGAUUGAAUGAUAUAUUAUCGAUACAUAGUAAUUUCAAGUAAGGAAAUACUUUGUUAAGGAUAGUUAGGAUGUGUCUUGAUUAGUAAUACAUUUAGAAUAAGAUAUUUGACUCUAUUCACAUAUUAAGGUGGUGACAGUCAAAUGAGAUUUAUAUGAUUUGAUCUACAAUAUAAAAAAUCAUAAUCUAACAUGCCAUAUGAAUUAACCUUGUCAUAUUAGGUGAUUCUAUUAUGAUAUUCUUAUUCGCAUAGAUGUGUGAAUUUCACAAUGGGGUAUUAUAACAUGUGCAAAUUUUUUAGUCUAAAUCAAUGUACGAUUCUUUCAGAAAUAGGGUCAAGUGUACAUGUGGAUCUAAUUAGAUUUUUGACAUGAGUAAUAUGGAACACAAGUCAUUUAGAGACACUUAAUUGUUUAAUAUAUUAGGAAUGAAUGAAGUGUGAUUAUUCAUAUGAUUAUGAUUGAAUGAUUCAAAUAUAAAUUUUAAAAAUCAUUAACUUAGCCUAAUUUCUUGUUAGUAUCAUUUUUUUGUUAGUAUCGUUUUUUUUUUAGAUUUGUUAUGAUCGUGAGUUACAUGUGAACAUAUGAUGUUGUAUGUUAUAGGCCUCAAAAUUGAAAAUGAGAGAGUUUUUUCUUUUAAUUCUUUUGAUGUUUUAUUUUGAUGUAUAUAUUUGAUUAUGAUAUAAUAAUAUUACAAUGUAAAUGUUAUUUAUAUACUAUCACAUGGUAAAUUAAAAUUUAAUAAGGUAGUUAAGGAUGUUAUAAUUAUUCUUUUAAUUUAUUUUAUUUCACUGUAUAUUUAGGUGUAUUACGUAAAAUGUAUAGUUAAAAAAAAUAAUGUUAUUUUGAAAUUUAAGCUUUUGUUAAAAUUAUACCAUUUGAAAAGGAACACAGAACAAUCUUGACAAUUAUACUGACUUAGUACUUAUUUUAAUUUAUUAUAUUCAUGAGUAUUAUUUUUUUCUUAAACAUAAAUAUUGGAUAAAAAAUAUAAAUAACAUUUAUUUAUUUCAAAUUUAAAAAUCUUUAAAAUAAAUAUAAAUAAUAUUUUUAAUCAAGAUGUGUUUUUUAACAAUUUUUUUUAAUUUAAAAAUAAUUAAUUCGGACGAUGAUUAAAGAAAUAUUAACAAAUUAUUUCUGCGAUUAUAAUAAACCUUCAAUAAUUUUUGCACUUUCUAGCAUAUAGAAUAUGGAUCCUUUUGUGAUUUUUCUUUUCUAAAGUACAAUUGAUAUUUUAAAUGUUUUUCUAUUUAAUUUUCCUUUCUUAAUGCACAUAAAAAUUUCAGUGCACAAUUAUUACUCACCUUAAUUCAAAAUGGAAAUUAAAAUUCAAGAACCCUACUUAUAUAUUAAUAUUCAACGAUUUAAAAUAUUAGUAUGCAAAUUAAUCUUUCUUAAUAAUAUUUGUAACAAUUUUUAAUAAUUCAAUGUGAAAUAUGUAAUAAUUACUUUUCUAUGAUUCAGAGGGAAAAUUAUUCCAACUAGACUUUUACAAAUAUAUUUCAAGUGGUAAUAUGAUUUUAAACAAAAAUAGUAUUCUCCACAAAAAUAAAUAGUUACUGUUCCUAAUUAAACAAGUCACAUUCUUGAACAAAAUAUCAAAUAACAAGGAAUUAGACUAUGAAAUGAUGACCAAUUAUAUUAAACAACAUAACAUACAUUUCUCAAUGUACACAAGGUAUAAAUAAUACAAUAUCAUCCAAAACCUGUGUUCACUAUGUAAAUAAACCAUUUUUUUUGCCAUUACCUCUUUCAUGAUGAUGAUUUGUUUACUAGGGAUUGCAAUGAUAGGUCAUGAUCAAAACUUAGGCCUAAGACUAAAAAUAGAAUGAAAUGAGCAUGAAAAUAAAGAUAACUUUUGAGUGAGACACAUUCUUCCUUACAAGCAGCAAGUUCUUCCAGGUUAUCUUCUCUUCCUUCAACCGUAGCUGUGCAACCGCCUGUUGUUCAUUGCCACCAAUAUCUCUAGUGCCAAAACUAUGUUUUCCAAAAUUAGAGUUAUAUGGCUUUAUCUGUGAAGUCUUACCAGCCAUAAUGUUUUAUUUUACUGUUUUGUUGUAAUCAUGCCAAUAGAUAAAUCGUGGAUUUGUAAACCACGAAACACCAUUGAGUAUGCAAAUGGGUUGAAUGUGUUUUUGGAUAUUGCAUUUCAACAUGCUAAUGGUCCUGUAAUUAAGUGUCCAUGUGCAAAGUGUGGUUUCAAAAAGUGACAAACAAGGGAUGUAAUCCAAGAACACUUAACAUUUACAACUUUCCCUCAGAACUACAAAACUUGGUAUUUGCACGGUGAAAGACCAAGUGUAAUUGAGCCUAUGGUCACUACAAGUGUGCAUGUCAUUGAAGAUUUAUUUGAAUCUCAAAAUACAAUGGAAGACAUGUUGAAUGAUGCAUUCGAGUUUGCGGGACAUGAUGAGGAUACUGAAGUUGAUGGUUUGCAAACUAAUAUGGUGGGUGAUGAAGGAAUAUGAACUUUGAUGAAUUGAUGAGGGACAAUAAUGAACCCUUAUAUGAAGGUUGUACAAAGCAUUCGAAGUUAUCAUUCAUGUUGAAGUUGUACCAUAUCAAAUGCAUGAGUAGAAUGAGUGACAAAGCAAUGACCAUGAUUCUAGACUUGCUAAUGAACACAUUUGAACAUGCUAAGUUUCCUAACUUGUUUUAUGAGGCGAAGACUGUGAUUACCAAACUUGGACUUAAUUAUGUCAAAAUACCAGCUUGCCCAAAAGACUGAAUGCUAUAUUGGGGCGAAGACAAUGAAGGCUUAGAAGAAUGUAAACGGUUCAAAACGUCUAAGUGCAAAAAAAAAAAAAGAUAAGAAGCAAUUGCAUUACUUUCCAUUAAAACUGUGAUUGCAAAGAUUGUUUAUGAGUUCUAAGAUGAUUGAGUCUAUGACAAGGCAUGCAUCAAAGGAUAAUCAAGAUGGAUUGAUGAGGCAUCCUAGAGAUUCUGAGGCUUGCAAAUCAUUUUAUUGCAUCCAGAAUUUGUAAAUGACCAUUGAAAUGUACGAUUAGACUUAGCUGCUUAUGGCUUUAAUCCUUAUGAAAACAUGAGUAAAAACCAUAGUAUAUGACGAGUGGUUAUCAUCCCAACAAUCACCCUCCUUGGGAGUUAUGAAGCAAACAUCUUUUAUCCUCUACAUGAUAAUUUCUGGAAAACAAAUGGUAGAAAAUGACAUUGAUGUUUAUUUAAAACCACUUAUAAGCAAAUUGAAGGAGUUAAUAGUAUGAUCAUGUAAUUAUUAUUUAUAUACUAAAUAUUACGACAUAUAGUAAUUUAAAAUUUGAUAAGGUAGAUGAGGAUAUUAAAAUAUCUCUUUUAAUUUAUUUUAUUUUAUUGUAUAUUUAGGUGUAUUAUGUAAAAUAUAUAAUUAAAAAAAAUAAUGUUAUUUUAAAAUUUAAAGAAUCACGUAUAGAAAGAAACAUAUAACAAUCUUGACAAUUAUAUUCUGACUUAGAGAUACUUAUCUUAAUUUAUUAUAUUCAUGAGUAUUAUUUUUUUCUUAAACAUAGAUAUUGGAUAAAAAAUAUUAAUAAUAUUUAUUAUUUAAAUUUUAGAAAUAUUUAAAAUUAAAAUUAAAAUUAAAUAAUAUUUUUAAUUAAAAUAUGAAAAAAAUUCCUUAACAAUUUUUUUAAUUUCAAAAUAAUUAAUUCAGAGGAUGAUUGAAAAAAUAUUAACAAAUCAUUUCUGCGUUUAUAAUAAACCUUCAAUAAUAUUUGUACUUUCUAUCAUAUAGAAUACUUAAUGGAUCCUUUUGUGAUUUUUCUUUUCUAAAGUACAGUUGAUAUUUUAAAUGUUUUUCUAUUUAAUUUUCAUUUCUCAAUGACAAAUAAAAUGGUUCAGUGCACAAUUAAUUAUUCUCACCUUAGAUUUCAUUCAUCUCAUUCCAUUUCCACACUCAAAUCAUUCUCACAUUUUUUUCUACCUAUUUCACAAAGUUUUUGUUAAAAUAUGGAAAUUAAAGUUCAAGAACCCUACUUAUAUUUCAUAUUCAACAAUUUAAAAUAUUAAUAUGCAAAUUAAUAUUUCUUAAUAAUGUUAUUUUUAUGUAAAAAUUAAAAUGUAGUUUAGUCAUUCAUACUUAGAUGGAUAAAAAUGGUUUUAGAAAGAAAAAAAUAUGCAUUUUUUUGAAAGGUUAUCUAAACUCUAAACUCAUUGAUGAAUUAAUAAUAAUAAAUAAUAUGGAAUUCUAUACGAAUAGCAUAUAAAUGUUUUCUUGUUGAAACUGAUAAUUAAUUCAGUCUAGGGACAAUUAUCGCGGUAUUUGUUCUUUUAUUUUUAAUGUUUAAACAAUUAUAAAAUUCUGUUUUUAGAUAUUAAAAUGAUAGUUUUCAUUUACAGAUUAAAAUAUUACUUGUUUCUUUUAAGAUUUUUUGUAUUAUAAUUAUUUGUUGUCUGAAUUGUUUUGAUUUAACAUGUUGUUUUCUUGGGCUAUGAUAUUGUGAGGUUUUAUUACAUGCAGGUACGUGAAUAUUUUUUUUAUCCUAGUUGUAUAAAUCAGGAAAAUUGUUUUUCACAUUAUAAUAACCGUUUAACAACUCUAAAUAAUAAUAAAAUAUUAACUCAUAUUGUUUAAUUAAAGUAUAAAUUAAAUUAUUAAAUAAAAAAGUAGUAAAACUGGUUGCAGGAUGGGAAUAUGAUUAUUUUUAACUGCUAGCUCCUGAUUAUUCUUUUCUAAUAAAAAAAACACCAAUAGCAACAAAACAAGUUUUGACACACGUAGGUUUGGCAAUUGUUUUAAUAGCUGAAAAUAGUACAACAAUUUUUAAUUACCACAAACUGCAUCUUAAAUCAUAAAAAAUUAGCAUUUUGUUAGUUCAUAUAUAAUAAAAUUUCCAUAAAACAGCCAAUUGUAUUAAUUAUUAAUAAUGUAUUUACAAUUUUUUUAGAUAAUUUUUUUACUAUAAAGACAUUUAUUUGAGAUUGAAAUUGUAAUUAACACUUUUUGGUCAAAGAAUAAUAUAUUUCACUUGAUUUUUUGUAUUAAAUAUUUUGUAUAGCGCUGAGACAAAAAAAAAUCUCAUAUAAAUCCCUAUGUGCUACAAGUACAAUAUAACAUCCUUAAUGUAAGCAAUAAAAAUGAUGAAUACUCAAAGUCGUGUAAUUACGCAAAAGAAUCAAGUGAUUUUUAAAAGAACUCACAUGAUCAGUUUAAAUUUUGACGAUAAAAUACAUUAAUUAUAUAUAUUUAUUCAAAAUUUCAAUUAUAUUAUGCAUUAAUGGUUUUAUGCUUUUAGAGGAAUCAGAGAAACUUAGAAAAGCUCCUAAAAACUAAUGUAACCCUAUGAAUAGAAGAGAGCUAAAAGAAAGAGAAAAUGGAAGUGAGAAAAGAUGAUAAUUAAUAAACACGCUCUCUUCAUAACAUAGAGUCUUUAAACCUAUAUUCCCUCAAACAAUUAUAAAGAAUUAACAAUCACACUUUUAUAAGUCAUCACCCACAUGAAACAAAACAAGGUGCCUCAAUAUGAAUAAACCAAGAUUAAUAAGAAAUAUGAGGUUUCACUAACCAAGCUCAGAAUUUUCUGCUUUUAUAGCUCCAUGCACAAACCUAAUACAAUGAUAUGAUAUUCACUGCAAAUGCAACCCAAAUAUGCUAAAGAAGUUAAUGAAACCCAAAUAUAAAGAAUUUGAAGAGAAUGCAACUCUGGGACAACAGAGCACACCAUCUCAUGCUGAACAGAAACAUCAAACUAUAUCUAACAAUAACUAUACCUAUGUUUGCUUUGGGUCUGUUUUUAGUUUCAAUGUUACUCUUUAUCUGCAGGUUGGGAACAUAUCUUGAUGAAAUAUAGAAACAUUUUUAUUCAUAAUAUAUAUAAGGAUUACACAUUCAUAAUUAUUUCUUUCUGUCGUAGCAUUGUCUACCUCAAAUCACUGCAACUUUCUGUUGUUGGUAUUUGCAUAUCACGAUGGUUAUUGAGAAAUUUAGGAGUUUGCUGUUGUGUACCAGAAGUAAAAUAGAAGGUUCAUUUUUUGGUCAUCAUCAAUUAUUAAUGUAAAUAGAUAUAGGUGAAGGAGAUCAGUAUUAUGCAUUGUAUCAUGGACCAUUAGAAGACUAGGGUCACCAAUUGGAGGCAUUGGUAACUUUGGCUAGUAAAACUAAAACCAAAGUCCAUUUUUACAAAGCCUUGGUCUAAUUCACCUUAUAGCUGUACUUUUUCCUCCAUUUUAAUAAUAUUAAGUUUUCAUUUUCUAUGCAUAAUCUUGGGUAAUUUUCUUUUUAUAUCAAUGCUUGAAGUGUCAAAUUGUUACAAGCUGGAUUAUUAAGAAAGAAAAGAGUGCAUUCUGGAUGCUCGAAAGGGAGUGUUUCCUAGAAAAAAAAUGUGAUUUCAGGGUGUCCAGGCUCAGGUAGCAAUGGUAGGAGUUCCACAUUGAAAUGGAUGAACUACUUGAUUUAGUACUUUGGGACUCUCUCACCUAAUGGACUAGUAUUUUGGGUUAGCUUCUCUCCCCUUAAUGCUUAAGUCCUAAAAAACAGUUUUUCUGUUUCUAUUUAUCUUUUAGGGUGUGAUUAGGACCAUGAAGCAGUGGGUGUUUUUUCCAUUAAUGAACUUUGCCACUGCCACAGAUCACCUAGGUUAACCUAAUUAAGUCUUCUGAAUUGUAUUUUGUAAUUAAUUCUUGUAAAACAUGGAGUGUAAAAUUCAUGUACAUUUUUCUUUUCCUCUUUUGAUUUGGAUGUCAAACUAGCAACUUCAUGUUUUGUCUGGUUGGUCUAUCACAUUUAUGUAGGUUGUAAUCUAUUUUGCCUAAUGCAUCAGUUGCAGAUAGGUACUAAAUUAUCUUAGUUCGGAUACACCUUGCCAAUUAGAUUAAGAUCAAGAAUUUAAAGUGAAUGGUUCACUUCUGAGUUCUUAAAUGAGAUAAAAUGUUCAGAGAUACUAAAUCAUCGCCUUCAUUUGAAAAUUGGCGUGCCUAUUAUGCUUUUGAGAAAUAUUGAUCAAACCAACGGUCUUUGUAAUGGAACAAGGUUGCAAGUUAUUGAUUUGAAGAAAAUGUUAUUUGUGCAAUAGUUCUAACAGGAACAAAUAUUGGUGAUAAAAUCUUCAUUUCAAGAAUGAAUUUGAUCCCUUUAGAUGUAGGUAUGCCAUUCAAAUUCCAGAGAAGACAAUUUCCAAUAGCUUUAUGUUUUGCAAUGACAAUUAAGAAAAGCCAAGGUCAAUUAUUGACCAAAGUUGGUUUAUAUUUUUCACAUCCAAUUUUCACACAUCGAUAGUUGUAUGUAGCUAUUUAUAGAGUUCGAAAGAAAAAAGAUUUAAAAAUUCUAACUCUUGAUGAAGAUGGAAUGCAACAAACAAGAAAAAGAAAAUGUUUACACUGAAAUUUUUGACAAUAUUUGAAAACAAUAGAAUUAUAUGAUAAACUUGGAAUGGCUAAUUCUCCCUGCAACCAAUAUUUUUGAACCUGCAACUUUUAAAUUUUUGAAAAUGCUCUUUAUUCCAGAAAUGAAAAUAAUACAUUACAAAAAAAAUAGAUCCAAAAAAGAUUAUUGUGUUUUGGUAAUAAAAAUCGGAAAACAAAAAUCAAAAGCCCAUUAUGAAUAAGAAAAUUCGUAAUACAAAAAAUUUGGUCUUAAAAACAAAAUCUGAAAACAUAUUCCAGAAAGAAAAUCCGAAAUGUAUUUUUAUAUAUAACCCAUUUUUUCAAGGGAGUUUCGUCUUUUCUAUUGUAAAAGGGGUUGGAAUUUGCUCCCUUGGAAUUAUAGUUUCUUAUGUGUGAUGUAGUAACAGUUGCCUUAUUUAAAAUGUUACUAAAUAACAUAUAAUUUAUAUCUGUUAUUUUUAUUCUGUUAUGACUUUAUAUAUUUGUCACAACAUGAAUGAGGCACAAACCCAUCUCAUGUUAACGAAGUUGAGAAUUUUCUGAUUUUACAGGUCCAUGCAAAAAUCUAAUAUAAUGAUAUGAUAUUCAAUAUCAAGAGGUACUUGUCGUAAAACGGGGAAUAUGAGAGACUCCAUAGAAUGAAGAAAAAGUAUAAAGAGGAUUUACAAAUUAACCUUUCAAAUGCAGCUCCUCAGAAUUUCAUAAUGCCUUCACUGCAAAUGCAACCCAAAUAUGCUAAAGAAGUUAAUCAAACAAUACAUGAGGAGUUUCAAGAAAAUGCAACUCUGGAACAACAGAGCAACCCAUCUCAUGCUGAACAGAAACAUCAAACUAUAUCUAACUUAGAAAUCUUUGUCAACAAUUGAACGAACCCACUCCUUAAAUACCAUUGAAAAUGUAAAUAAAACAAAAUAAAUUAAAAACGAGAAAUUCAUAAUAAAAAUUAAACGUGUUGAACCCUGUAAUUUAGAAGUAUUAACGAUAAGGCAGUUUAGAUCCUCACCAAUGAAAGAGACUAGCUGACUAGGUAGCUUUCGGCCUUCCUCUUCCUAUCUUCCCUUGUUUCUCUUGAAGACUCUGCAAUAUUGCUUCCAUUGGAUUGUUCAAAGUCAACAGCACCACCAUAUUUAUCAUCUUUCUUUUUCGUAUAAAGAGGGCAUAUGCCGCAUUCCUUUAUUGUGAUACCUGAUUUCAACCGAAAGUGAUAAUCACACGGACUGAUAAGUGAAGCUGCGAGCAUCACAGAUUCUAAGGCUCAUGCCGCUCGCCCUUAGGAACUCCAAGUUAAAUUUCCACACGAAUGUGUGAUCUUGAUCAACACAUCUCUCUUCACCAUUCGAAAUAGCUGUUUAACACAUCUAUCAUCGCUGCAGAAACUUAAAUCUUCAUUUAUAGUCACUGAAUGUCCCUUCCCACGAAAAUGGAACCAACCAGGAACUGCAGUCCCUGGAAAACAGAAGAACACAGACCUAUAUCUAUCGUCGGUCAUCCUAAGCCUUGCAUCCUCCUCAAUGUUAGCACGACCACCUGAAUCCAGUUGCUGAGCAUUGGUGAAAUGAAAUUUGAAUACACCCUCUUUGGAAUUUGAGAGGUUUCGAACAAGAGAAUUUGGCAUCACUCUUCUAAUGGAUGGGCAAUCCAAUGCCACGAGUUGCUUUAGAAAUGGUGGAAUCUGUGGGAUGCAUUCAAGCUUUUUGCAGUCGCUUAAAUCAAGCGAUUUCAAGCUUGAAAGAUGAGCAAUGCUCUCAGGAAGGUUCACGAUUCCGCUAUCACGCAGUGAUAGUUCCAUUAAUAACGUCAAACGACCAAUGUGUCUUGGGAUUUCUGUUAAUUUGGAGCACCCCGAACAAUUUAGAGAGAAGCUUCAGAUUAACAAUGGAGUUUGAAAGUGACUCGAUAUCAGUGUAUUUCUGAAGCUCCAAGGAUCGAAGAUUAACGAAAUUGCAAAAUGAGGAAGGCAACUGCGCAAACUCAGUUGUUGAAGCCCUACCAAACGGCACAAGGAUGAAGGUAGUGCCUGUAUGGCUGUGGCGUCUAAGAUGAGCACCGCUAGAUCUUCCAACGUGUCCUGAAUCUGGGGUAAAUUUUCCAAUUUUGAGCAACCACGGAGAGAAAGUUGCUUUAGGAAUUUCAUAUCAGAAAGGUCAAAUGGAAAGAUUGUAAGGGAAGAACAGUAAGAGAGAUCUAAAUGACAGAGCUUCUUGCAACUAAAGUGUAAGGGCACACCUUUCAUGAAUUUUGUCAACACUUCUAAGUAUAUAGUAUUAUUAGCCACUUCUUCUUCUUCAUUAUAUCUGUCAAAAGUAAUUGAGGAAGUUGGGAAAAUAUGACCACUGUAUGCACGAGGUUCACCACGCCGUCCUGCACCAUGCCGUUCUGAGAAAUUUAUCUCUUUGAUCAUAUCCGGUUUCUGGCGAUGGAAUCUUGAGAAAGUUUGACGUUGACGCUCCACGCUCCAGUAUCACAUGAGGGAAUCUUGAGAAAUUUCCACGUUGAUGCCCCAGUUUCUGAUGUGGGUAUCUUGUGACGCUCCAGUUUCACAUGACGAAAUCUGGGUUCACUGGUUGAAAACAUAUUAAGCUUCCCACAACAGGAAAUAUUAAUCCAUCCUUGUAAUGUGGAUAAAAUGUUGCUGGGAAUAUUUAUACUAUUCAGAUCAUAACAAUUAUCUAAACAUAAAUAACUGAGCUUGCUGAGUAAUAUCGAAGAGUGAACUUUAAUCAACUUUCCACAAUAACUCAGAAUUAUUUCUUCAAUAUUUGGUAAGAGAGAAAAGUCUGGUAUUCUAGUAAGUUUCCGAGAACCACUCAGGUCAAGCCUUUUCAAGUUUGGUAAAUUCUGCCACAAAUAGUAAAUGAAUCAGGUAACAAAUAAAAACCACUGUUAAAAAAAUCACACUCUGAACUAACAAAACUGUGGCUAUUCACUAUCAACAAUCCCUCUCAAAUACACUUCUACUAAUACAUUAACAACAAUAUCAUUAUAUUAACCAUAAAAUAUUACAUUUCUUCAGUUAAUACGUAGGACAAUAUAAUAAUCAGGUCACUCAGCUAAUGAAAAAAAUUAAACAACAUGAACUCAAUUAAAUAAUAUAAAACUUUUGAGUACUAGAUAAAAUAAGAAAAUUAAUAAAAAUUCAAUUUGAAAAUAAUCAAAUUUAUAAGAUACUUAAAACUUAAUUAAACCUACAAAUUUUCAUUAUAUGGAGUUAAAUACUAUAAAUAUUUACCACAUAAGUAGAAUGUUUAAAUAUAUAUUUCUUCACGUUGGAAGUUUUUUUCCUCUAUCUUAUAAGUUUUCUUUGUUUCUUUAAUAUUUUUUAAGCCAAUGUGAUUUUUUUAAUAUAAAAUAUUAUUAAAGAUAAAAUAUGAAGAUAGGGUAAUUAAAUAUAAUUUUUUAUUUUUUAGAAAUGAUGAAAAUUAUAAUUAAAUUAACUAAAUUAUAUAAAAUUCUAUUUCAUUUACAUAACUACUUUUCAUAUUAAAAAAACUAUAUAAGAUCUUGAAACUAUAAUUAAUAUUUCUACUCAUUUUUCGUUUUUGUUGGUGAAAUCUUGAUUUUGGGAUAGUAUUAGUGAGAUAUUGUUUGGAGUUAAAAACAAGAAAUUCUUUUGCAUAAUCAAUUUGAACAGUUUUGAUUUUGAAACCAGAUUUUCAGAGAAGAGUUUAAAGCGUUCAAAUGCAGCAAGAGCUUGAGAUUUAGCAUGCUAGAGAUAAAUUCAUGUAUAUUUUAAAUAUGCAUUAGGAAAAGAGAUAUCGUAUGAUGCAACAUUAUUAGCACAAACAACAAACAGCAGAACGUCCCCAAAUAUCAAUAUAGAUAAAUUCUAAAAGGUGAUUAUCCACACUGUUUUAGAACAACUUUGAUUACAGAAAAACUAUAACGCCCAAGUCUAUUAUGCCACAAGUGAAAAGAAGUUUUUUCAUAUUUAAAAGAUGUGUAGUUAGCAGAAAAAACAGAGGAUCAGAGAUCAAGAAAGACAGAGAGAUCAUCUUUAAGUGUGCCUUGUAGAAGAAUCUGUUUAGUUACUUAGUCUUUAACAUAGCAAGAAUGAGGGUGAAAUUCAAAAAACACAUUGUUGUUACGAGCAAACUUUGAAACACUAAGCAAAUUCUUAGUAUAAUGAGAAACAUGUAAAAGAUCAAGGAGAGAGAAGGAAGUACAAGAGGUAGACGACACACAGGAAGCAGAACCAAUGUGGGAGAUUUUUAUACCUGCACCAUUACCAAGUUUAACGUUCGCAAUGCCAUGAUAGAUUUGUUGAUCAUUGAACAGAGUAUGGUCGUUUGUUAUAUGGUGAGAGACACCGCUAUCUGGGUACCAUAAUGGAUCUUCUAAAGAUGAUGGUGGACCAAGAAGAGAGUAAGAAGAGUCAUCACGUGGAGGUGGAGAGAAAUGAGAUGUGUUUGCAGAGGAGGAUGGUGGUGUAGUACGAUCAAACCAGUGCCAACAAUGAAGAGCAGUGUGUCCAAGUUUGGAGCAUAUUUGACAGCGAACAGGGUUGCGUUUCCAUGAUGAAGACGUAGUGGAGUUCCAAGAAGAGUAUUGGGAAGGUCGGGGUUUGCCGCGGUUGAACUGAUUCUAGUUAGAUGUGGGAUUGUAACCACGACCACCACAGGAGGAGUUGGAAAAGGGGAGGUGGAGAGAAAUGAGAUGUGUUUGCAGAGGAGGAUGGUGGUGUAGUACGAUCAAACCAGUGCCAACAACAAUGAAGAGCAGUGUGUCCAAGUUUGGAGCAUAUUUGAGAGCGAACAGGGUUGCGUUUCCAUGAUUACGACAGUAAUAAAUGUAUUAUAUUCUUCAGAUAGCCUUCAAGGAUGAUGUCAAUAUGAUCAGUGGAAACAGGGGCAUCAAUAGCGGCAAGCAUGUUGACGGCGUUCUUGAUAUCAUGGAGAUAGGAGGAGAUGGAUCUGUGAUGACCUGAUUUUGUUGUUGGUACCAUUAGAGACUUGGGGACUGUCAUCAGUGGUGGAAGAAGUGGUUCUUGAUGGAACACUAGUGUCGUCAAGAAAAUGACCCAGUUUGAGCCCGCAAAUGGAGGCAAGGACUUGAUGUUUCCAGAGAAGAUAGUUAUCUUCAUCUAGUUUAAGAGUGAUGGGUGUUGUGAACUGUUGAACGGAAGGCAUGACCAGAGGUAACGGGCAAGAAGAAGAUGCAAAAGAAGAUGAAGAGAUAUGAGUGCAGUGCAUUAGAAUAGAGAGAGAAAGGAGAAAGAUAUUAUCUUAGUAUAUGUGCUAAAGGUAUAUAAGGAGUGCAGAACUGGAAACACUUACAAAGUUGUCGUUACACAGUUAUAGUAUGGUUAACAAUGUAUAAUACAGAAAACAUGCUUGUGUACUUUAUUUUUAUCUUUGAAAGUUUAGAACACAGAGGAACAUAGAUAGCUAGAAAAACCUGAUCUCCUUCCCAGAGUUGUUCAAGAUGGCAGCCUGGCAUUUCCAGGGUCACAGUCUGGCAUUUCCAGGGUCACUAGAUUUUGUGGGCAAAAGUUUGGAGGCCAGAAUCUUUGAGGGAAACCGUUCCAAUAAAGAAACUUUAGAGUGUCUGGCAGACCUACAAGAGAUGAUUCAAGAGACACAUUUGAUAUGAAUAUAGGCAUGUAGACCAUAAGCAUCAUAAGAUUGUCCAUCUUUUCGAAACUUUGUGCAUGUACUACAGCAUCUUUUACUUUGUUCGUAUGUAGUAAUAUACACUGUAUUGCAUCUGACCCCUGAAAGUAAAUCAAUUUAAUUAGGAGAAAAAAAACAUGAAAUGUUGCAUUGCAGGAUGUUUAAUGACAUCUCAGUGGUUUGCAAUUUUUUACAAAGUAAAUCCAUUCUCAAUUGAGUAACGACAUAAUACCUUGUUCUUUCUUAAAACCUCUCAAAUUUCCUCAGCAUUAAACAAUCGGCUGCGUUUUCCAGGAUGCUGAGGACACUCUUUACGAACAAUUUCUUGACUCAUUUCUNNNNNNNNNNNNNNNNNNNNNNNNNNNNNNNNNNNNNNNNNNNNNNNNNNNNNNNNNNNNNNNNNNNNNNNNNNNNNNNNNNNNNNNNNNNNNNNNNNNNGAUCCAUCUUUUUCUGCUGCUACCAUGUCGAACUCCCUUCAAAUCAAUACAAUGUCUUCACCAUCAAUCAGCCAAGUGAUUAAUGUUAAACUCACACAAGAAAAUUAUUUAUUGUGGUCUGCUCAAAUCCUUCCCUAUUUACGUAGUCAGGGGCUGGUUGGGUUUGUGGAUGGAUCCAUGCCACCACCAAACCAAACGAUUACGGUUGAGUCAAGUGAAGAAACAGGGAGCCGCAAAAUCCUGAAUUCACAGUCUGGUACCCCCAGGACCAGCUGGUACUCAGUCUCAUCAACUCAUCGGUUACCGAGGAAGUUCUCAGCACGGUGGUCGGAAUCACCACUGCACGAGAAGCCUGGGAUAUGCUGGAGCGGCAAUUUGCCUCCACAUCUCGAGCACGAGCAAUGCAGAAUCAUAUGGAACUCUCCACGAUCCAAAAGAAGGACAUGACAAUUGCUGACUAUUUUCGUAAAGUAAAACGUCUCGGAGACACUCUGGCUGCCAUUGGCAAGCGAGUAGAGGAUGAAGAACUCAUCGCCUACAUGCUGCAAGGACUUGGUCUAGAUUAUGAUCCUCUUGUCACAAGCAUUACAACUAGAACAGAUGUUUACACUGUCAGCGAUGUGUAUGCUCAUAUGCUGAGCUACGAGAUGCGUCAUCUGCGUAAUGGUACUCUUGAGCAAUUUCCUUUUGCUAACAAUGUCAACAGCAUGUCUAAUCGAGGAGGAACUAAUGGACGUCGUGGUGGUCGUGGUCGUCAAUCAAAUGGUGGUCGAGGACAAACAUGGCACACUAGAAACAAUUCUGGACGUCAGCCAUCAAAGGCACAAAGUAACUCAGACAAAGUCUGUCAGAUUUGUGGUAAGCCAAACCAUGAUGCUUUGCAAUGUUGGCACAGAUUUGAUCAGGCAUAUUAAGCCGAAGACAAUCUUAAACAAGCAGUUGUGGCCACAAGUGGAUAUACUGGUGAUGCAAACUGGUACGUAGAUACUGGAGCCACAGAUCACAUCACCAACGAGUUAGAAAGACUUACCACCAACGAACAUUACAAUGGCACUGAUCAGAUUCAAGUUGCAAAUGGCUCAGGUUUUUCUAUCUCUCAUAUUGGGAACUCAUUAAUUUCUGGUUCAUCUAGAUCUCUUGUACUGAAACAUAUCCUAUAUGCUCCUAAAAUCAAUAAACAUCUGAUUUCAGUACAAAGACUAGCAUCUGAUAAUAAUGCCUUUGUGGAAUUUCACCCACACUGUUUUUUUGUUAAGGACCGAGCCACGAAGGAACUUCUGCUCACAAGUAGAUGUAAGAAUGGCCUCUACACUUUACCAAAUAACUCCAGCAAAGCAUUCCCGACAGCCAAACUUUCGAAAGAACAAUGGCAUAGAAGACUUGGGCAUCCUGCUUUCCCAGUCACAAUUAGAAUCUUGAAAAAUAAUAACUUAGCUCUAGAUACUAGAGUUUCUUCUUCCUUAAUUUGCCAUGCUUGUCAACUAGAAAAGCACAUCAAUUACCCUUUGUUUCUUCUCAACAUGUAUCUACAGCACCUCUUCAAUUGAUUCAUACUGAUGUAUGGGGUCCAGCCAUUGUCUUAGUGAAUAAUUCUAAAUAUUAUGUUUCAUUUGUUGAUGAUUUUAGCAGAUAUGUUUGGAUUUAUUUUUUGAAAUACAAGUCUGAUGUUGAGUCUGUGUUUCAUCAGUUUCAAAAACAUGUUGAAACCAUGCUAAACACCAAAAUUCGCUCUGUCCAGUCAGAUUGGGGGGGUGAAUACCAUCGUUUGCACCAAUAUUUCAAAACAACUGGAAUUGAGCAUCGUCUUUCUUGUCCUCACACACAUCAGCAAAAUGGGUUGGUAGAAAGAAAGCACAGACACAUUGUGGAAACUGGCCUUACUUUACUUGCCCAAGCUAACAUGCCUUUGUCCUAUUAGGAUGAAGCCUUCAAUACAGCUUGUUACCUUAUAAAUAGACUACCAUCUCGAAUCAUACAAGCAAGACACACCACUUCAUAAAUUAUUUGCAAAAAAUCCAGAUUACACCAUGCUUAAGGUGUUUGGCUGUGCUUGCUGGCCCAAUUUAAGGCCUUACAACACCAAGAAACUGAGUUUUCGAACCACUAAGUGUGUCUUCUUAGGCUAUAGUUCUUCUCAUAAGGGAUACAAGUGCUUAGAUAGAAGUACAAAACGAAUUUACAUCUCUAGAGAUGUAAUCUUUGAUGAAAAUGUGUUUCCUUUUGAAGAAUUAAAUUCUAAGUCAUCAAUCCAAACCAAAAAUUCACACCAGCCUGCUCUACUUCCAACCUUCGUUAAACCCGUUCCAUACACUGAAAAUGCUCUCACAAAUAUUGAACCAGUUGUUAAUGAUUCUCGUAUAAUUGAUGGUCAAUCUAAUGAUGUUGCUAAUAACAACUUGUCUGGUAUAAGCUUACAUCCUGCAGAUAAUACAAUAAGUCCAGAAAUUGUUGCAGAACAGGAAGCUGAGAACAGUCUGACCAAUUUCCAAGAACAGAUGUUCNNNNNNNNNNNNNNNNNNNNNNNNNNNNNNNNNNNNNNNNNNNNNNNNNNNNNNNNNNNNNNNNNNNNNNNNNNNNNNNNNNNNNNNNNNNNNNNNNNNNGAACAAGAUUGAAAAAUAACAUUGUCCAAGCAAAACAGUUCACUGAUGGUACUGUCAGAUAUUCAGAGACCUCAAGAAAGUUUACCGGUGCUGUCACUGUCAAAAAUCCGACCACAAUAAAUGUACUAAAAAAUGCUACUGAGACUGAUACAGUUACUGAACCUCAAAACCUGCAGGAAGCUCUACAAAGUCCAGGUUGGCAGGAAGCAAUGAAUAAUGAGCUCUCAGCAUUACAACACAAUGAGACUUGGGAUUUCGUUCCACCAAAACCUGGCAUAAAUCUCAUUGAUAGUCGAUGGGUGUAUAAAGUGAAAAGGAAAGCGGAUGAAUCAGUGGAGAGAUUGAAAGCAAGGUUGGUUGCUAAAGGGUUCAAGCAAAGAUUUGGCAUUGAUUACAUUGAUACCUUUAGCCCCGUGGUCAAGCCAUCAACAAUCAAAGUUAUUCUUUCACUAGCAGUAACCAAAGGCUGGAAUAUGAGACAAGUUGAUAUCCAAAAUGCAUUCUUGCAUGGAAUUUUGGAAGAGGAAGUGUACAUGCGACAACCAUCGGGAUUUCAAGACCCAUAUAAACCAAAGGAAUACAUAUGCAAACUCAAGAAAGCGCUUUAUGGCCUGAAACAGGCUCCAAAGGCUUGGCACUCAAGACUGACUGGAAAACUUAUGGAAUUAGGCUUUAGAGCUUCUGUAGCUGAUUCAUCUUUGUUUAUCCUCAAAAACAAAGAGGUAACCAUCUAUAUGCUCAUAUACGUUGAUGAUAUAAUUAUCGUGAGCUCCUCUGAUCAAGCCACCGAAAGGUUGAUUCAGAAGUUGAAAAUAGAUUUUGCUAUAAAAGACUUAGGUGGUCUUGAGUAUUUUCUGGGUAUUGAAGUCAAGAAGGCAAGAGAUGGCAUCACANNNNNNNNNNNNNNNNNNNNNNNNNNNNNNNNNNNNNNNNNNNNNNNNNNNNNNNNNNNNNNNNNNNNNNNNNNNNNNNNNNNNNNNNNNNNNNNNNNNNAAAUUAUUCAAAGAGCAGGGAACACUCUUGUCAAUUGAAGAACAAUUUAAAUACAGAAGUACUGUGGGAGCAUUGCAAUACUUGACAAUGACCAGGCCUGAUUUGGCAUUUGCUGUCAACAAGGUUUGCCAAUACCUUCAUACGCCUACUGAUGCUCAUUGGAGUGUUGUAAAGAGAAUCCUUCGUUAUGUCAAGGGCACAUUAGAUUUGGGAAUCAGAAUUCAGAAGUCUCCAACAAUGCUGCUGUCCGGAUUUUCUGAUGCUGAUUGGGCUGGUUGUCCUGAUGAUCGACGUUCAACUAGCGGCUUUGCUGUAUUUCUUGGAGCAAAUCUAAUUUCUUGGAGCUCUAGAAAACAAACCACAGUGUCCAGAUCGAGCACCGAAGCAGAAUACAAGGCCAUUGCGAAUCUGACAGCAGAAAUGAUUUGGAUAAAAUCAUUAUUGAAAGAGCUUGGUGUGUAUCAAUCAAAAGCUCCUCGACUCUGGUGUGACAAUCUAGGAGCUACAUACUUAACUUCAAAUCCAGUGUUUCAUGCAAGAACAAAACAUAUUGAAGUUGACUUCCAUUUUGUUCGAGAACAAGUGGCACGCAAAGCAAUGGAAGUUCAGUUUAUUUCAUCAAGUGAUCAAGUGGCUGAUAUCCUAACAAAACCACUGUCUAGAACUCUCUUUAUUACACAUUGUAACAAUCUCAACAUGUAUAAAACCUGUUGGGAUUGAAGGGGACUGUUAGAAUUAGUCAGUUAGAAGUGGAACACGUUUGUAGAAGUGGAACACGUUAGUUGGUUAGUUGCCUUAAGAAGCGGAUCAUGGAUCCAACCGUGUAUGCAAUCAGUUACCUUUCUUUAAUUAUAAAUACAAUACGUCCUCCACAUAGAGAGGUACAGUUAGCAAACUUUAUUAGAGCUGAAUCGGUAACAUCAUCAAGAAUGAGGAGAACCUUUGUCCGUUUGAGCCUUUCAUUGUAAUAUGGUGAAGAAGAGGAUUUCUCUUCCUUUAGAAGCUCAGACUGAUAUUUUGUUCUGAUACUGUCUAUUCCAUCUCUUUGUAUUUUUUCUUGAACGUCUAAAACAAGGCUGCUGGAAUCAAACUGCAAUGCCAAUUUGUGAUAUAUUUGAUUACAAAUUGUAGUUUUUCCUAUUCCUCCCAUGCCACAAAUUCCUAUGAUCCGAACAUCCGGUGACUCAAGAUGCAACAAGGACUGAAUUCCUUCAAUAUGUUUUUCAAUGCCGAUGAUUCCUUGAUCAUAACUGAUGGAAUAACGAUUCAAUUUUUUCAACAAGUGUGUGUUCUGUGCUGGCAGAUGAUUUAGAAAAUAAUGUAUAAGUAUUCAAGCACAAAAGCUAAACUAAAGAAAAAUUCUACAGCAUCCGUUUGUGACUUCUGAUACUAGGGAGAAGACUUGUAGGUACAAAGUUAAGCUAUAACAUGUAAUAUGGUUCAGAUCUAAGACCGACUAAUAGAAAUGAAAAAAGAAGCACUUGAUUUAGGGUGAGAUGAACACAAUUUUAGUAAAUGAAAAGAGAUCCUGAUUAUCUGGAAAGUGCGUGACCUGGUGACUUUUGAAUCCCAGCCUGCAAGUUCAGCAGCUUCGGUGAGAGCAUCCUUCCAUCCUUGCACUUUAUCGUGCUUAAAGUGCUGCUCAUGCUUUUCGAAUGCUUCUUUGUAUCUUUGUUCCUGCUUCCUAAUAGUUGAUGGAUCCACCUUGUAGAAAACAGGUAUGACAUCCCUUCCAAAUCUCUUCUUGCAUUCAAGUAUCUUAGUGAGUUCAUUCAAGCACCAAGUGGAAGAUGCAUAGUCUUGGGAGAAAACGAUGACAUAAAUCUUUGAAAAAUAAGUAUGAAAUCUAGAUAUAUAUCAUUAUCACGUGUGGAAGCUACGUCGUCUUGUAUUGGAUUUUCUAAUCUGCCUUUUAUCUUGUCUCAUUCUUCUUUAUCUUUUUUCUCUCAUCUCUCUUGCUUACGAUUUCUUUGCCUUUAUUCAGAAAUUUUAGUUAUAAUAAACCUUCAAUAAUAUUUGUACUUUCUAGCAUAUAGAAUACUUAAUGGAUCCUUUUCUGAUUUUUCUUUUCUAAAGUUCAAUUGAUUUUUUAAAUGUUUUUCUAUUUAAUUUUCCUUUCUUAAUGACACAUAAAAUGGUUCAGUGCACAAUUAAUUAUUCUCACCUUAGAUUUCAUUCAUCUCAUUCCAUUUCCACACUCAAAUCAUUCUCACAUUUGUUUCUACCUGUUUCACAAAGUUUUAGUUAAAAUAUGGAAAUUAAUGUUCAAGAACCCUACUUAAUAUUAAUAUUCAACAAUUUAAAAUAUUAAAAUGCAAAUUAAUCUUUCUUAAUAAUGUCAUUUUUAUGUAAAAAAUAAAAUGUAGUUUAGUCAUUUAUACUUAGAUGGAUAAAGAUGAUUUUAGAAAAAAAAAAUGCAUUUUAUUUCAAAGGUUAACUAAACUCUGAACUCAUUUAUGAAUUAAUAAUAAUAAAUAAUAUGUAAUUGUAUUCCAAUACCAUAUAAAUUUUUUUUAUUGGGUGCGUUUCUGAUGAAUUAAUGCACUCUAGGGACAAUGAUCGCUCUAGUAUUUGAUUUUUUAUUUAUUUUAAUGUUAAAAUUAUAGCUAUGUAGUACAGAUAUUACUGACACAGACAGACACGAACACGGACACAGAAAUACAUAAAAUCUCUAAAAUGUAGAAUACGGAGACAUUAAUCUAUAUAUUAUAUAAUUAUGAAUCAUAUAAAUUAACAAUAAAGAUUUAUGUGCACAAGUAUUUUUGAGAUUAUUUUUUAGAACAGAAAUAUGUUUUUCAUGACUAGUUCACAAAUAUUUGUUUCUUAUUCUUAUAAUCAUAAUAACAAUUUAUACCAUAAAGUUUCAAUUUUAGAAAAUUAAUGUAUUUUUUCUUUUUAAAAUUUCGUUAGAACUGUACUAGAAUUGUAAAAAAUCUAACAAAUACAUUUUGAAUUGGACAUUCCACGAAUACGUGUCCUACCAGUAUUUUGAACAACAUUCUUUCUUUUGGAACAAAGAGGGCAUAUGCCGCAGUCUUUUACUGUGAUAACUCAUUUCAACUCUCACACAACUGAUUCGUAAUCUGUGGGAUGCAUUAAAGCCUUUUGCAGUUAAAUCAAUAGUAUAUGAUGAUGUGAAUGUUAUUUAUAUACUAAAUAUAAUCACAUAGUAACUUCAAAUUUGAUAAGGUACAACAUGUUACCAUAUCUCUUUUAAUUUAUUUUAUUUCAUUAUAUAUUUAGGUGUAUUUAAUUUCUUUUAUUUCAUUGUGUAUUUAGGUGUAUUACGUAAAAUAUAUAAUUAAAAAGAAAGAAGAAUAAUGUUAUUUUGAAAUUUAAAGAAGACAUAUAGAAAUAAACAAGCUUUUGCUAAGAUUCCACCAUUGAAAAGGAACAUAGAACAAUCUUGACAAUUAUACUUUGACUUAUUUUAAUUUCUUAUAUUUAUGAGUAUUAUUUUUUCUUAAACAUAGAUAUUGGAUAAAAAAUACAAAUAACAUUUCUUUAUUUCAAAUUUAAAAAUAUUUUAAAUUAAAAUAAAAUAAUUUUUUAAUUAAGAUAUAACAAAAUAUUCUUUAACAAAUUAUUUUAAUUUCAAAAUAAUUAAUUCAGAGGACGAUUGAAAAAAUAUUAAAUAUUAUAAUAAAGCUUCAAUAAUAUUUGUACUUUCUAGCAUAUAGAAUACUUAAUGGAUCCUUUUAUGAAUUUUCUUUUCUAAAGUACAAUUGAUUUUUUAAAUGUUUUUCUAUUUAAUUUUUCUUUCUUGACACAAAAUGUUCAGUGCACAAUUAAUUACUCACCUUAGAUUUCGUUCUUCUCUUUCCAUUUCCACACUCAAAUCAUUUUCACCUUUUUUUUCUUCUUAUUUCACAAAACUUUAAUUAAAAUAUGGAAAAUAAAGUUCAAGAACCCUGCUUAUAUAUUAAUAUUCAAAAAUUUAAAAUAUUAAUAUGCAAAUGAAUAUUUCUUAAUAAUUUUAUUUUGAUGUAAAAAAUAAAAUGUAGUUUAGUCAUUCAUACUUAGAUGGAUAAAGAUGGUUUUAGAAAAAAAAAAAGAAUAUGCAUUUUAUUUGAAAGGUUAUCUAAACUCUGAACUCACUGAUGAAUUAAUAAUAAUAAAUAAUAUGGAAUUCUAUUCCAAUACCAUAUAGGAUGGAGAAAAGUAAGAAGAGGAUUUACACAUUACCCUUUCAAAUGGAGCUCCUCAGGAUUUCAUAAUGCCUUCACUGCAAAUGCAACCCAAAUAUGCUAAAAAAGUUAAUGAAACUAUAUAUGAAGAGUUAAUGAAACUAAAUGGCGUGUGCUGAAAUUUUUGAUCCGAUAACCAUGCCCACAUUCAAAAAGUGAAAGGUUACUUUGCUUUAUAUUCCUUUGGGUGGUGCUACUUUUCAACUUGACAACAAAUUCCCAUUAUUGUGUGGUUAUCAAUUACCAUUUAACUUAUUCUCAUACCACAUUCACUAUAUAAUAGUCCAUCAUAAACCCCAAAAUUUGCACAUUUUCUAUUUGCAAGACAUCCAACAGACAAAGAAAACAUGUGAAACUGUGUAAUAAUGUGAGAACGUAAGAACUUACUUCAUCAUGAAAUCAAGCCAUGCCUGAGGGUUUUUUCUGAGAGCAUUCACCACAGGUGCAUAUUCAUGUGGCUGUAUCCCAUACUCAGCUAGUAUUUCUGCUACCUCUGCCGCUUCUUUUUUUGUCAAAAAACACAUAUUCAUUAUUAAUGUGCAAUCAAAUGGUAACGAAACUAUGUAGUACAAACACACACUGAUACGACACUAGGACGAACAUACGUAUAAUGUUACUCCUUCUAUGGAAAUGAAGGAUAUUCAGCAAUAACUUUUAAAACUCAUUACAUAGAAAUUUGCAUCAAGUUAUCAAAGUCUAUAGGAAUGAAUUUUCAAUUCAUGGAAACACAGAUAACAAAAAGUAAUAGAAAAAUAGAAAAAAAGUUGUCAAAUGAUUCUAUAAAAAAUUAACCUAUCAUGAAAAUCAAGAUGAUAGAAAAUAAAAUAAUGUGGCAUGAACAUCAAAAUCGUAUAAAAGCAUAAUAGAAGAACAGUGGAUACCAGUUUCUGGCACGGCGAUGAUUUCUUCUUGCUCUCUUUUCAAUUCCCUCGAGUAAUUAUCGGCUUCACUUUUUGCUGCCAAAUAACUGCACAAUGAAAAUUAACAUGAAAUAAUAACGGAAUUUAAAUUGAGUUUUGUGAGUGUGAAGAGUGUGGUUGAACGUACCCGCCGAGGCCCAUGGAGAUGGCGCCGGCGGCGACUUCCGCUAUGCCAGCGGUGAGAACGAUGGAGGAGGUGACAUUGGCGCCGGAGAGGCCGGCGGCGAGGGCGAAGGGGACGGUGAGGCCGUCGGAAACGCCGAUGAUGAUGUCGCGGACUAUUUCGCCGGCGGUGAAGUGCUUCUCGGUGUGGUGGUUGAGAAGGUUCGUUCUCUCAGAAUCCACGCUUAUGCCGUGUUCGGUGGCGGCCAUUGGUGCAAGCUUGUGAAUGUGUUUGAGUUCGCCAACGUGCUCUGGGAAUCCAAACAAAGCCUUGCUGCUUUGCACAUAAAUUGAGCCUCUUUUGUGCUCAACUUACUCCUAAAUAGAACAAAAAUAUCUAACCGUUGAUGAUAUCCACGUGGAAAAUUAUCAAUGGAUAUCAAUAUCACAUUAUUUCUACACUAAUAUUUUAAUUAUUUUUAAAUAUUAUAACUAAAUCAAUCAAUAUAAUACCAAAUCUUCUUAAUUCUUUGGAUUAUAUAUAUUUUAUUUUAUUUUAUUUAUAAAGGAAGUUGUGAUAAAUGUUGUGUUUUGUGUGCACAUUAAUAAAAAUCAAAUAACCAAAAAAUAAUAAUCUUGUGAAAGAAAAAAUGGUAGAAUUUAUACUAUUCUACAAAAUUUUAAAAGUGGCUAAUGUGUUUUACUCAACUAUGUAAAUAAUUUUGGACUCUCUUGUUAAGGAAAUAAUGAAAUACAUUAAAUUUUGUUUUAUACUCUUACUUUAAGUUUUUUUGUGUUUCUCCUGACUUAAUUAAAUAUCAGAGAGUCGUCUUUUGCAGGUAGAUUUCAUUCUAUCAUAAUAUACCAACUGAAAACUUGUUUUCUGAAAAACACACGGCUCUCACCGAAUUGCACUUUCCAAUUUUUUUUAAUAGAAAUAAUAAUAAUUAAGUAUUUGUGUUCUUAUAUUUAAUUUUUAAUAAAAAAAUUAUUCUUAUGUACUUCUAAAUUGAUAUAUUUUACCAAUGUCUAUUAACAAUGGGAAGAAGUUUAUACCUAACAAAACUAUUUAACAUGAUUUGUUUGUAAAUUAUAGAAGUAUGUGUAGAAAGAUAUAAAAUUAAUGUUUUAAGAGAAAUUUAAGCAACUUUCAUAAUAUAUUGUAGAUUAUUAGUUGAAUUUAUGGAAAUUAAAAAUAAAUUGUAGGUCACCACACUUCCACUUUUUUUUAAUGAUAUCAAAUCACAACUUUACAAUUUUCACUAAUUUUUAACCAAUAACAAAAGAACAUCUUAGAAGAAGUGUGUUUAAGAAUUUGAUGUUAACUCUCAUUGUUUUUUAAACUUAAAUCCAGCUUUAUUCUUCAACUUUUAAUUUUUAUACAUAUUUAAUUGUAUAUAUAGUUUUUAACUCUCUAAAAUCAAACAAUUUUAAUUCAUUAAAUAGGCAAUGUCAUGAGUGUUAAACUUUUAACAUUUUUCUAGUAAUUAAAUUACUUAUGAAGAUUCAACUAAUUCAAAAUUUAAUAUUUUUACAAUUUUUAUUAUAAUAUUCUUAAAAUAUAUUUUAAUAUUUUGUUUUUCAUGUUUGAAAUAUAAAUGUUUUAAAAAAUCAUUUUAAAUUAUUUUGUUUCUCAUCUUAUGUAAUAAAUUACUAUAAUAAUUACUAAAACAUUUAAUACCUAUACAUUUUUAAUGAGCAAAAACUAAUAAUGAAUUAUAACAAAUAAAAAACGUUUCUGGGCAACAAAAUAGUAAUUAAUAUGAAUUAUAACAAAUAAUGAACGUUUUGUGGUAAUUUGUUUCACUUUCAAAUAAGUUAGUACUUCGCCUGUUAUUUCAUAACGGUAGUUUUUUUAAAUAUAUUAAGAAAAAUGUUUAUUUUUUUAUUUUUAAUGCACUUUUAAGUAACUUGCCUAUUAUAUUAUAUUAUAUGGGUAUUAUAUAUAUAUAGGUAAGCACCAAAAAAUAAAUUUAAGGUAAAAGUGAUAUAAUUAAAAUAAAAUAAAUUAUUAUUAAAUAGAAAAUAUAUAUAAUUAAAAAAAUCAGUUAUUUAAGUUUUAUUUUAAAAUAAUUUUUGUAAAAAAAUUUUCUUUUUUUCCUUGUUCACGAUUUUAAAUUUUAUAUUCACUUGGUAGACAUGUUUUGCAUGUGGUGUUUGGGACUUAAAAGAAUAAUAUAUGUUAGUUCAAGAUCCUAAUGAUGUGUUUUUAAGAAGUUGGACUAUCUUUGUUUUUUUAAGAAGUUGAAGUCUUUUUAUGAAUACUUAUCUUUUUAAACAGGUAAGAUAAACUAGUUUUAUCUGUAAAACUUAAGUUAGAAUAUCUGAAUAUGAAAUGUGAUUCUUCAUAUGAUUAUGAUUGAAUGAUUCAAAAUUCAAGUAUAAAGUUUUAAGAAUCAUUAACUUAUGUUUUUUUUUUUGUGCUAUUUUUUUGAUUUUUUGCAAUGAUUGUGUGUUGCAUGUGAGCAAAUGAUGUUACAAGUUGUAAACCUAAAAAAAAAUCAUGAAAUUUUGUCUUUUUUAUUCUUUUGAUAUUUUAUCUUAAUGAUAUAUAUAUAUAUAUAUAUAUAUAUAUAUAUAUUUAAAAAUCUCUAUAUGAAAGGAUAGUAUUUUAUGAUAUAAUAAUAUGAUAAUGUAAAUGUUAUUUAUAUAAUAAAUAUCAUGAGAUAAUUUAAAUUUUGAUAAGAUAAAUGAAGAUGUUACAAUAUCUCUUUUAAUUUUUUUUUAUUUCAUUAUAUAUUUAGGCGUAUUUAAUUUCUUUUAUUUCAUUGUAUAUUUAGGUGUAUUACGUAAAAUAUAUAAUUAAAAAGAAAAAAUAAUGUUAUUUUGAAAUUUAAAGAAUGACGUAUAGAAAGAAACAAGCUUUUGUUAAAAUUCCACCAUUGAAAAGGAACAUAGAACAACACUCUUGACAAUUAUACUUUGACUUAGAUACUUAUUUUAAUUUAUUAUAUUCAUGAGUAUUAUUUUUUCUUAAACAUAGAUAUUGGAUAAAAAUUAAUAAAAUUUAUUUAUUUCAAAUUUAAAAAUAUUUAAAAUUAAAAUAAAAUAAUAUUUUUAAUUAAGAUAUAAAAAAAUAUUCUUUACAAAUUUUUUUAAUUUCAAAAUAAUUAAUUCAGAGGAUGAUUGAAAAAAUAUUAACAAUCUAUUUAUGCGUUUAUAGUAAACCUUCAAUAAUAUUUGUACUUUCUAGCAUAUAGAAUACUUACUGGAUUUCUUACUCUUUCUUUCUACACCUCUAUCCAUACUAAAUAUAAAAAUACCAUUUUAUUCUUUUUUCUCCACCCCUUGAAUUUGAAAUAAUAAGCCCAUGGAUUAUGUAAUCUGGAUAUAUUCCGGAUUAGUCAAUUUCAUAUUUAGAAAAGACUUUCGGAUUAUGUAAUCCAGAAGCUAAUAAAACAUCUGAAAAAAAGGCUUCCGGAUUACAUAAUCCGGAAGCUAAUCUUAUGUAUAGAAAAGACUUUCGCAUUAUGUAUUCCGGAAGCUAAUCACAAAAGACUUCUGGAUUACAUAAUCCAAACGCUAAUUCUAAAUCUAGAAAAAAGACUUCCGGAUUAUGUAAUCCGGAAUAUUAAAAAAGAUAUUUUUGAAAUACGAAAAAUUUAUGGGGGUGACACAAGAAGGUAUGGAGGUGCAGGAAGAAACAGCCUGGAUUCCUUUUGUGAUUUUUCUUUUCUAAAGUACAAUUGAUAUUUUAAAUGUUUUUCUAUUUAAUUUGUCUUUCUUAAAUGACACAUAAAAUGUUCAGUGCACAAUUAACUACUCACCUUAGAUUUCGUUCUUCUUUUUCCACUUCCACACUAAAAUCAUUUUCACAUUUUUUUUACCUAUUUCACAAAAAUUUAAUUCAAAAAUGGAAAUUAAAGUUCAAGAACCCUACUUAUAUAUUAACAUUCAACAAUUUAAAAUAUUAAUAUUCAAAUUAAUCUUUCUUAAUGUUAUGAAAAAUUUAAAAUGUAGUUUAGUCAUUCUUGGAUGGAAAAAGAUGGUUUUAGAAGAAAAAAAUGCAUUUUAUUUGAAAGGUUAUCUAAACUCUAAACUCAUUGAUGAAUUAAUAAUAAUAAAUAAUAUGGAAUUCUAUUGGAAUAGCAUAUAAAUGUUUUGUUGUUGAAACUGAUAAUUGGGUGCGUUUCUGAUGAAAUUAAUUAAUGCAGUCUAGGGACAAUUAUCGCUCUAGUAUUUCAUUUUUUUAUUUUUAACGUUGAAAUUAUAAUUAUACAAUUCCGUUUUUAGAUAUUAAAAUGAUAGUUUUCAUUUACAGAUUAAAAUAUUACUUGUUUCUUUUAAGAUUUUUUUGGUAUUAUAAUUAUUUGUUAGCUGAAUUGUUUUGCGUUAACAUGUUGUUUUCUUGGGCUAUGAUGUAAGCAAUAUAAAUGUUAUUUUUAAUGUAAGCAAUAAAAAUUAUGAGUAUUCAAAGUCGUGUAAUUACUUAAAAGAAUCAAGUGAUUUUUAAAAGAACUCACACGAUCAGUUUUAAUUUUGACGAUAAAAUAUAUUAGUUAUAUAUAUUUAUUCAAAAUUUCAAUUAUACUAUGCAUUUAUGGUUUUAUGCUUUUAGAGGAAUCAGUAACUUAGAAAAGCUCCCAAAAACUAAUGAAAUCCCAUGAAUGAAGAAGGAGAACAAAUGGAAGUGAAAAAUCAGUAAGAUGAUAAUUAAUAAACACCCUCUCUUAAUAACAUAACAUAGGAGUCUUUAAACUUAUAUUCUUCAAACAAUUAUAAGCUGUCUUCAACUUUACUGUUAAACUACAAUUAUAAAGAAUUAACAAUCUCACACACCAACAACAUUUAUAAGUCAUCACUCACAUGCAACAAGGUGUGCCUCAAUGUGAAAAAACCAAGAUCAAUAAGAAAUGAGGUUCCACUUAACCAAGCUGAGAAUUGUCUGGUUUUCCAGCUCCAUGCACAAACCUAAUACAAUGAUAUGAUAUUCAAUACCAAGAGGUACCUUGUCGUAAAACUGAGAAUAUGAGGUUGCAUAGGAUGGAGAAAAGUAAGAAGAGGAUUUACCAAUUACCCUUUCAAAUGCAGCUCCUCAAGAUUUCAUAAUCCCUUCACUGCAAAUGCAACCCAAAUAUGUUAAAGAAGUUAAUGAAACCGAAAUAUGAAGAGUUUCAAAAUAAAAAUUUAACAUGUUGAAACUUGUAAUUUAGAAGUAUUGACUAUAAGGCAGUUUAGAUCCUGACCAAUGAAAGACUAAUAAGCAGAAGAGGAAGAGACUAGUUGACUGGCUAGCUUUCGGCCUUCCACUUCCUAUCUUCCCUUGUUUCUCUUGAAGACUGUGCAACAUUGCUUCCACUGGAUUCUUCAAUCUCAACAGCACCACCAUAUUCAUCAUCUUUCUUUUUCGUAUAAAGAGGGCAUAUGCCGCAUUCUUUUAUUGUGAUAACUGAUUUCAACUCUCUCACAACUGAUUCGUAAUCUGGCCACCCAAAGUCAUAAUCACACGGACUGAUCUCAAAAGUGAAGCUGCGAGCAUCACAUAGCCUGAGGCUCAUGCCGCUCGCCCUUAGGGACUCCAAGUUAAAUUUCCACACGAAUGUGUGAUCUUUAUCAACACAUCUCUCUUCACCAUUCCAUUUGAAAUAGCUGUUUAACACAUCAUUAUUUGGAAUGAUCUGUGUGCCAUCAUCAUCAGAUUCAAAUGUUAGGCUGUAACUAAAAGAACCAUAUCUACCAUUCAUAGCAUACGUAUCUAACACUCCAAAAACCACACUCAAAGCGAAACCAGUGAGCCUAUCAUCGCUGCAGAAACUUAAAUCUUCAUUUAUAGUCACUGAAUGUCCCUUCCCACGAAAAUUGAACCAACCAGGAACUGCACUCCCUGGAAAACAGAAGAACACACACCUAUAUGCAUCGUCGGUCAUCCUAAGCCUUGCAUCCUCCUCAAUGUUAGCACGACCACCUGAAUCCAGUUGUUGAGCAUUGGUGAAAUGAAAUUUAAAUACACCCUCUUCGGAAUUUGAGAGGUUUCGAACAAGAGAAUUUGGCAUCACUCUUCUAAUGGAUGGGCAAUCCAAUGCCACGAGUUGUUUCAGAAAUGGUGGAAUCUGUGGGAUGCAUUCAAGCUUUUUGCAGUCGCUUAAAUCAAGCGAUUUCAAACUUGAAAGAUGAGCAAUGCUCCCAGGAAGGUUCACGAUUCCGCUAUUACGCAGUGAAAGUUUCAUUAAUGACGUCAAACGACCAAUGUGUCUAGGGAUUUCUGUUAAUUUGGGGCACCCCGAACAAUCAAGUUUAGAGAGAAGCUUCAGAUUAACAAUGCAGUUUGGAAGUGAGUCGAGAUCAGUGCAUUUGUGGAGCUCCAGGGAUCGAAGAUUAACCAAAUUGCCAAAUGAGGAAGGCAAUUCUUUAACAGCCGUAGAUGUUAAGUUAAUGUGAGCAAAAGUAUGAGCCGGCUCCGUGAUCUCUGGGAAGGACCUCAGCCUUGAGCAACCACCUAAAUCAAACUUCCUCAAUUUCAAAUUGAAAAUGGUGCUUGGAAAAGUUUGAAGUGAAUUACAGUGGGUAAGGUCUAACUUGCAUAGUCUGGUGAGGGUUCCAAUGGAAGAUGGAAUAAUCUGAAGAUUGAAGCAACUGCGCAAACUCAGUUGUUGAAGCCCUACCAAACGGCACAAGGAUGAAGGUAGUGCCUGUAUGGCUGUGUCGUCUAAGAUGAGCACCGCUAGAUCUUCCAACGUGUCCUGAAUCUGGGGUAAAUAUUCCAAUUUUGAGCAACCACGGAGAGAAAGUUGCUUUAGGAAUUUCAUAUCAGAAAG
This 65920-nucleotide long non-coding RNA is filed under the name Phaseolus vulgaris (common bean). RNAcentral's name for it is "long non-coding RNA (PVUL_LNC004765)". The stretch from base 50872 to 51010 matches the Rfam family "Small nucleolar RNA Z247". Lineage: Eukaryota; Viridiplantae; Streptophyta; Magnoliopsida; Fabales; Fabaceae. The record is from RNAcentral.